UCUCAGGAAAGCCAGUACUUUUGAGAGAUCAUCUAAUCCGUUUUACACUCUCCGCUGCAUGCCAAAUGGUUUUGAGUAACAAGUACUUUGCCCAAUCUGAAGGGGAUGGAUCUGUAGUUACCUUUGAAGAACUCCAAGAGAUGAUAGAUACCUGGUUUUUGCUGGGUGGUGUGUUCAAUAUUGGGGAUUGGAUUCCGUGGCUCGACAGAUUUGACCUUCAAGGUUGCGUAAAGCAAAUGAAAGAACUUUACAAGAAAUUUGAUAGAUUCCAUAACCAUGUGCUUGAUGAUCAUCGGGCCAAGAGGAAAACGGAGAAAGAUUUUAUCCCUAAGGACAUGGUGGACAUUCUAUUGCAAUAUGCUGAAGAUCCUGAUCUCCAGGUUAAACUCACCGAAGAUCAGAUGAAAGGGCUAAUUCUGGUGCUAUUUCUUAUCAUUGGUUAAUCAAAUUUCCAGAUCUCUAUACCUCUUUAACUUACUGAAACUUAAAGCUAGCACUUUAGUUUAGCUUACUAUAAUGUGCCAUUAAAUAUAACUGUCUUUUUUCUUUUGAUUAAGAGGUUUUCUGCUUUCAAUAUGUUGUCAAGCAUGAUACUUCAUCAGCAUUUGAUCAUGGCAAGACUAAUUUUACCAAGAUUUGAUCAUGUCCAGGACUUACUGGCUGGUGGUACCGAUACCUCGGCGUCCACAGUAGAAUGGGCAAUGAAUGAACUUCUCAAACAUCCACAUCUCAUUGAAAAGGCAACCGAAGAGCUUGAUAGAGUGAUAGGGAGAGAUAAGUGGGUGGAAGAGGCUGAUUUCUCAAAGCUACCUUUUCUAGAGGCGAUCAUAAAGGAAACCUUUAGGUUACAUCCAAUAGCAACGCUGCUUCCACCCCACCAUGCCAUUGAGGAUGGCACUGUAGCUGGUUAUCACAUUCCUAAAGGAACAGUGGUGUUUAUAAACACACGGAGUAUAGGGAGGAACUCAAAGUAUUGGGAUUCUCCUGAAGAGUUCAUGCCAGAAAGGUAUUUGGAGAAGGAUAUUGACAUGAAGGGACAAAACUUUGCGUUAUUGCCAUUUGGCUCAGGUCGAAGGAGGUGCCCAGGCGAUAACCUUGGACUCAAACUUGUUCGAUCAACGUUGGCCAACUUGUUGCAUGGAUUCAACUGGAAAUUGCCUCAUGGCAUGAAACCAGAAGAAAUUUGCAUGGAAGAACUCUACGGAUUCAUAACUCAUCCAAGGACUCCAGUUGCUAUGAUCCCAGAACCACGUUUGCCGGUCAAUCUCUACUAGAGAUCGUAUGAUUUAAGGGAAAAUUGAAAUGUGUUCCUUGUUGGCAAAAUAAACCAAACCUAAAAAUUGUUAGUGUCAGAUUUUUAGUGGUUGUGUGAUCUAGAAAUUAAUAUUUUAUUUGGUAAUUUCUUAUACAAGUGGUUUCUUUCUCAAUAAGUUUGCUAGGUUAUAAAUAAGACAUUAUUUAGUAUAUUUUUUUAAGAGAGUCCAGAAAGAGUCUGUAAGGUUUUAUUAUGGUAUGAGUUUCUUGCACUAUUUUGAAAUAUCAAUAAUAGUGUGAAUUAUUUAUUUCUUUUGUCUCUCAAAAAUAUGUUAGUGAUUGUUUCAUCCUUUAAUCUAUAACCCUACGCGCAUUAGUUAUUAUUAGAACUUUAAAAUUUGGAAUCUACAAUUGGUAUCACAAGCCCAACACGAGGUUAGUUUUGGAUGUUUCCAUUGUCAGAGAAUUAAGGCAUUUCUGUUGUAAGAGAAUUCAGGCACAAAUUUAUUGAAAAGUAUUUGGUUGACUAAGUUAGACCACAAGGUUGGUCUUGAAGUGCACAGUUGGUGAGAAAUUCAAUCAUAAGAUUGGCUAAAAAAUUAUUAUAUUGUUACAGGUACUAUGACAGAGAUUAGAGAAGAAUCUUAUCAGAGUUGUUGAUUGCUGUGGAUUAUUAGAUUGAAGAAUUUAAUUAGUUAAUCAACCAAUGAGGCCACAAAACUUGAAAAAAGAGGAAAGAAUUCGUUGAUAUACGUGAGUUAUUAAUGAUGCGUGUUUUGAGAUCUAUGUAAUAAUGAAAGGUAUAGCAUACUAACUCCUAAAUAUAAAAGCCAAGAAUCAUAUUAUUGUUGAUUUUUAAGAGUAAAAAAAUAUCUCGAACAUUGCAAUUUAGAUAAUUUUCUUGAUGGAUUGUUACAAAUGAAUUACCAAAACAUGUUGUCAAGAGGAAUGCUAGAUUAUUUUUUCAAGUUAUGUGAAAAACAAUGUUUGACUGUACUUCAAAAUAUUUGUUCAUCGUACUAAAAUUUAUUUUGGAAGAAUAUUUAUUACGUUUUGAAAACUGUUGAAUUGAAUGAUGCUUUUAAAUCAAAAUUUGGUUAUUGGACAUGGUUAGUUGAUUUUGAGAGUGAUAGAUUUGUAGAUGACAUGGGUGAUUUAGAAGAUUUUGAAUGGGUUGAUAGUUUAGAUUUGCAUACCAUAUUUGGAGAAAUUGGGAGUGAUGAUUUUGUUGAAAAAAAUGUGUUAAUUUGACAAAGAAAGAAGAAAAUUUUGAUUUGAUAAGACAAGAAGAAGAUGAAAUUGCUAUUGAAAAAUUUGUUAGUUUGGACUUUCUUCAAGAUGAUGGUAAGAUGUUUGAUUUGAUAGAUAUGGAUUUAUUGGAGUUGAAAAAUAUUUUACUUCUAAAGAAUUGAUUGACAUUGUGAACUUUUUUUGGUAAUUGUGGUAGUGGAAUUCUUGAAUUGUUUGGUGAUGAUCAUUUUGAUAAAAAUGCAAACUAUGAUUUUGUAUUCUUAGGCACUUACGUUGGUAGUAAAUAUGGUAACUCUUGUGAUGAAUGGCUUUGUAUGAAUAAGUACUUUGAUCCAAAGGAAAUUAUUUGCAAAAUACAAAGUGCAAUUCACUGUCACGAGUAAAGAUGAAAUAAAAAUCGGCAACAAGAUAGAGUUGCAUAUCAAUUAUAAUAUGACAUAGAUUUGCAUGGAGACUGUUGCUCUAGAUAGAGUUGAACCUAUCUCAAUGAAGAGUUUGGUUUAAGAGAGGCAAUGUUAACAAAAUAAGCCAAGCCUAAACUUUUCUACUUAUUUAUUUACUAAUUUUAUUGGCAUCAGAUUUUCAGUAGUUGUAUGAUUUAAAAAUUUGUGUUUUAUUUGGUAACUAGUUUUGUACCCGUUCGUUGAACGGGAAUCGUCGAAAAAUAAUAAACUUUAGUCAAUUUAUAAAAAUGUCGAUAUAAAAUACAUAUUUAAUAUAUAAUCUAUUAUAACUUGUCUUAAGUAUAUUACUAUGUGCGCAUUGUAAUGUAAAGUAUUCUUAUAAUAUAAAUUUGAACAUCUAAUUCAGUGAAUAAUAAUUCAAAAAUAGAAAAAAUAACAUUCAACAAUACCAUAACAUUCAAAAACUUGAAAAUAAAUAAAAAGUGCAGUAAAUAGUAUCAAAUAAUAUUCUACUAUUCAAAAACUUGUUUUUGUUUUUUUCUGUUUGAACAUUCUCCUCGAUUUGUCCGUGUAAAUCAGCAUUUAUUGAUUUUCUAUUAUCACUGCAUGAUAGCAAAGUAGGAUAACUAAGUAUAAAAAAAAUAAAUGAUUUAUCGCAUUCAAGUUUGUGUAUAACAAUAUGUAAAGAUUAUAAUUAAGUAAAUGGCCAGAGUCUUUUAAUUAACUAAUGAAUUUGCAGAUAUAUCUAAUAGAGAUAUUUAUGUCUCUUGUAUUUAUAUCGCAUUACUUUCCAGUGCCUUUUGUUUUUUGUUAUUUUUUCUGAAGGCAAAUUAACAAACAUCGUAGUAUAUGAUCACAAAAAUCAAUUAACAAACACGUUAGAAAAAAUCCUACAAAAAUAACGAUGAAAGUACUUGUUUAAAUCCUAUGUCUUCAUACAAAAUAAAUAGAAAAUAAAACAAAAAAAAAUUCAAGAUAUGUUACUAAGCUCUUACAAUUGAAGAUCAACAUGCCUUUUUAAAAAAUAUAUAUAUAUAUAUAUAUUGAAAGAAAAUGUACCUGAUAAUCAAGAGGAGUGGAAACCCAAAAUCGAUACUUUAAUAUGCCAACCACUUGCACUGGAAAUACCUAACCAUGAAUUUGAUGCUUGAAAUCAAUAUAUUAGAGGCUAUAUGUAGUGUAGACAUAGGAAAUAAGAAUUGAUAAGAAUAUAAAGAAAUAUUGAUAAGAACAUUAAAAGUAUGUUUAUCUUAAUUUAAGUUGCUUAAAGUACGUAACUUUGGGUAGGAAAUAAGAAUCUUAUAAUAUUAAGAAUUCUUAUAGGAAAUAAAACCAUAAUCGUCCAAAUAACUUUGGGUAGGAAAUAAGACCUUAUGUGACCCGUACUAUGCACGUAUAUAAACCUGUACGUAAUAAAUUUACAAAUGCGUUAUGAAGAUAGAUUUUACCGACCUUAAAAUACCACCUCCACUAUAUCGAGUCCUUUAAGUGCAUGAACUCCUAUGGUAUGGGUCCACACACGAAAUACUCCCCACCAUUUGGGCAGAGAUGUAUUGUGAUUAAAGAAUUAUUAGCAGAAAUAUAUUAAAAAAAAAAGACGGGCGGAGGACACUACGGACGGAGGCCUUUCUCUUGGAUUGGAGGACACUACGGACGAAGGGUCGGGUAGGGGCCUUCGGGGUGCAAAACUCCAACAAAUAUCUAAUGUUUUUUCUCAUCUUUCUUUAGCUAUGAUAAUGGGAUUUUAUUUCUUUGGUUGAUGACACUCCAUUUUCUUUAUGGACUUUUCCAGAAUUUUUCAAUCAGAUAAAGUGCCAUUUCUCUUUGUACAUCAAUUAUGCAUGGGGACUGUGAGUCUUGUAAAAACUUUCUCGGGUUAAUUUUGUUUAAUUUCCAUGUCUAGAUUGUUUGUAUGUUGUUCUAUAUAUGGGUAGAUUAUCUUAAAAUAAAAAGGAUCCAUGAUGAAGCUGUUAAAAAAAAAAAGAAUAGGACACUAUAAAAAAAUAUAUUAUCAUUUAUUCCUAUAUAUCUAAUAGAGGAGAUUUAUGUCUCUUUUAUUUAUAUCGCAUUGCUUUCCAGUUCCUUUUUUGGGUAGGAAAUAAGAAUCAUAUAAUAUUAAGAAUUUUUAUAGGAAAUAAGAAUUGAUAUAUAUCCAAACAAAAAAGGAGCAAUCCACGUAGGAAACUACUUGCCGUCUCGUUAAGCCACGUAGGAAAGAGAAAAUAUGAAGGGAUAAGUAUGAGGAUACGACUUUAUUAUAUAUAUAUAUAUAUGAUUUCUUAUGCUAGUAAUUUCUUAAUUAACAAGUUUCCUAUAUAUAUAUAUAUAUAUAUAUAUAUAUAUAAAGGAGUUGUUGUGUGGCUGUUGGUUAAUUUUCAUCUAACCAUUUUGAGGGGUACAUUAGGCAUUUCAAUACCAGUGUACAAGUCAUUAAUGUUAGGGUACUAGCAUUCUAGGUGUAUUGGUAUGUACAUUACCCAACCUAUCCUUAGUGGCUUGAUGCUUCCACUCUGUCGAUGCUUAGUUAUAAAUAGGACAUUAUUUAGAGUGUUUUCUCCAGAGAGUCCGAGUCUGUGAAGUUUAUUAUGGUGUGACUUUCUUUCAUUGUUUUGAGAUAUCAAUAAUAGUGUGAAUUAUUUAUUUCUCUCCUCUCCUAUAAAUAUUUGAGUGAUUGUUUCAUCUUUCAAUCUAUGACUUUAUAUGCAUUAAUUAUUCUUAGAAUUCUAACAUUUGGGUUCUACAUUCCUACACUGUAUCACUCAAUGGUUGAACUCAUUCUCUGCUCUCCAAUUGUAUCAUGCCCUUGUAAUCGCUUAGCCCAUUGAAAGUGAUAGUGAUCGACAAAUUCCUACAAGUACAUAGGGGUCAAUCAGAGUAAUAAUUCACCUAAAAUAUUUUAGGGGUUGAAUCCACAUAGAUGAGUCAAUUUUCUACUUUAAUUAUCGUAACAAAAUAAUGAAACUUAAAUUCAAAGGAUUUUUAAUUACUAAUCAAGAAAUUGAAUAAAUAAUCAAAUCAAAUAAGAUAUAGGUGAGAAAAUAAUUGGCAAAAGACUAGGGUUCAGGUUUUAAUCCAUAUUUUGAAUUAUUUAUCUAGUUAAUUUCUUAACAUGCCAAGAAUAUAUCAUGCAAAAGUUUUAUAGAUUACCUUUUGAUACAUCCAAAUUGCGUCCAAUUAAAUUUCAUGUCUCUCCCAAAAUUAUAAAUAUUUAAUUAAAAGAGGUUUCUGACAAUUUCACUCGCAUCCCUCAGAUUUGAAUAAUUACACUAACCUCUCUUCAUAUAGCUAAAUGACUACAAUAUUCUUCACUUAUAAAUAAUUCAUACAAACAAAAAAAAAAUACCCUAGAACUACAACUAGUUUUUCAUUCUAAAGCAACAGUUGCCACAUAAAACAACUUUUAUUCUCUCUCUCCGACCCUUUCUCCUACUUUCUUUCUCCUGCAUCUCAUAGUUCACUAUUUUUUCGCAACUGCCAUCUACACAACCAUUUAAUAUAUCUCGAAUCCUUAUUAUUAUGGAAAUAGAUCCUCUUUCUUUUUUUUGUAAGUAUUAUUGAAUUAAAAUUGCCAAAUGACAGUUAUCGGAUUUGAUUUGUUGUUAAACUAAAUGAAGAUGAAAAGGAUGAUGGUGAUACAGAAUGCAGACAAGAAAAUAAAACUAAUGGCUAAAAAGGAAACAUGAAUUGAGGAAGAUUGUGUUAUUAUGUCAAUUGUGUAAAAAAGAAUUUUGGGAUAAAAAUUGCAAUUGAAUUUGCCUAGAGACAUGGGAUGUUUUUUCUAGUGUUGCUUUUGGUUGCUCCGUGUUGGUUUUCUUAGUGGGUUUGAUUAUUUUAGCAUCAACGAAGUUGCAACAUUUUGGAUUGAGUUUGGAUAGUGACAUUGGUCAAUUCAAGCACUGAAUUUAGACCCCAAAAAAAAUGAGGUUAAAGAUUAGGUUGAAUGCAAACUUUUAUUGUCAUAAUUGAUUUGUAUGGGAAGUUUUGGGACAGCAAUGGUAGGCUGUCAAAAUUGUGAGAAUAUGGGGAUUAAACUGAAGUGGUUUAUUGAAGUUGUUAUGGUGGUGGUUAUGUUGCUUACAAUAGUUGUAACGUGGAAGAAAUUUAUUAGUGUGUUUUUCCCCUUCUAAGUAAUAAAGGGGUAUUUUAGGAUUUUUAAGAACAAAUUUAGUAUAUUGAGUCUAUAUUGUUACUGAAAUGUUAAUCAUAGGGGAGGUAGGUGUAAUUUUUUAAACUAGAGGGGAGCUUCCUGCAAUAAUAAAAAAUCUCAAGGGAGGUUUCUGAAAUUAUCCCGUAAUUAGGUUAAGCAUAUUUAUCUAUCUAAUACAUGAUUAUAUAUCUCUUCUCAGUUCAAUACAAAUCCUAAAACAUGUCUAUGGUGGCUAAUCACAAAUAUGUAAUUAAGACAAGAUAAAUAAAUCAAGAUAAAAGUCAAGAAUUUAACUAGAAUAAAUAAUCAAUUCUCUUCAAAAAUUCCUAACCCUAGAAGUAAAUUAGUUCAUCAUAAUUGUAAGAAUAAACAAGAAUUCAAUAUUGAAAAUACAAGACGUGGAAUAAAGCGUAAGAAAAGUUUCUUACCGACUCCAGAUCCCGUGUCUUGAUUGUCAAUCUCGAUUCUUCAAUUCCUAAAGAAAGCCAUAGAACUAAUGUUUUGACAAGUGUUUUAUCUCCUAAAAAUGUUCUAAGUACUCCCAUUUAUAGUUUUCUAUAAUCUCUGUUGAAUCUCGAAAGGAAUACGCUUCUUGAAAUUGAAGAAAACGAGCCCCGCAUAGUUUUUUUAUGACAUCCGGUGACAAGUCAAUUUCAAGAUCAAAUUUCCACGCGUUUGGAAUACAUUUCCUCCUCGAUCUCACUUUUUUGCAAGUUAGGAUCCAAUUAAAGCACAAAAAGGCAUAAUCAACCAAUAAUUUACAUGUGUAACAUUGCUAAAAUCCACACCCUACUAGAGAGCUUGGGAGUUGGGACAGUAAAUUUCACCUAAGAAAACAUUAAAGAGACAAUAUUCCUUUUGGGGAUUUCUAUUGUGAAACAAAAUAAAAGUCGCAACCAAACUUUUGUCUUUCUUUAAAUUGCUUUUGGUGAAUUCUAUAUUAUGAAACAAAACGAAAGUCACAAUCAAAAUUUUUUUUUGCUACAAAACGAAAGCCAAAAUAUCACAAUUAUAACAUGUGGAAGAUUUCACAUGGAAAUAUUGAAGAUUGAAGAGAGAGAUAAAAAAAAAAAAUAGCUCCCUUGUUGCUUGUUAGCAAUGAAAAUAGGUACAUAACGGAAUUAAAUGUCCUACCUAUACUAAAAGCAGGAGCUUACAAUUGAGGUUGGAAUUGGGUUGACUUGAUUGUCACUUUAUUUGCAUGUGCUCCUUUUGUCUGGUAAAUAGGGAUCUUAAUCAUAUAAGUCAUAAGAUCAGUGUGCAUCGCUAGACUUCAUCGAAGAUCAGAAAUUUUGGAUUUCUCCGUGUUAGUUUGUACUGAUUGUAUAGUUCCCUCAAGUCUUUACUUAAAAUUGUAAAAAUUUUAUCUAUAAAAUCCGGUAUCGUUUCGAUAAAAAAAAAGAAAAAAAGAUUGUCCCUUUAUUCCAAAGCUGAUUGCACCAUUUUUGAGGUAGCAAUUGUUGUAAUUUUGAGCAACUUCAGUGGCAAUUGAUAACAUCGACAUACGUCAUCUUGGUCUCUUUUUCCGCUUCCAUUAAAACUCUGACGGAACCGACUGAUACGGCAGAAAGUAGCCAUUGUUCCAAUUACACAUCCAUUUUCAUGCUUAAUCCCUCUCACCCCUCUCAAUUUUGCUUUCUACAUAAAUUUUUUUUUUCCCAUCAACUUUUUUAAGUUUUUUUUUUUGAUGGAGUUUUGUUUCAGUACGUUUUUGUUAACUAAUUUGUAAGUUUUUUUUUUUAAUGAACUGUGAAUUCUCGCAAAAUUGAAACUCUGGACAAAUGGAAGGAAGGGAUAUGCUAAUCAGGUUUAAGUCAAUCAAUUUGCCUUGCAAUUGUCCAAAGUAUUAAAGAAUUUAAUGCGGUUUCUUAUAGUCCAAUUAAGUUGUGCUGAUAUGAUGAUGACAUAAAGUACUCUGGACCUGGAGUAUAAUUUUUUUAAAUUUGACUUUGCACCAUAAAGUUUAGUUAAUGACAAUUUAGUACAUAAAACUUCUAUUUCAUGCUACAAGCGCCUACAAUCCAAUUCAUAACUGUAUGCUAAUGAUGGUUGAACAUAUAUAAGUUACACAUUUGAGAAGCAAAAUUAUCCUAGUCUCUUUAGCAUUGAUGAAUUAGUGUUUAAUUAUGGCAUUUCAAUUUAACCGUUGACAAGUAAUUGUGUGACAAGUCCCUGAAAAAUGAUUGUCAAUAUGAGAUAGAGAUAGAGAUAAAAGUAGGAUGUAUCUAAUUUUACAUUUCUCUUAUCAGAAUUGUUGAAGAGUCUGGAAAAUAUUCCAAUAACAACAGUCUCUAAUCCAUGAAAAAAAAAAUAAUCUUAUUCAUCAAAGUCAUGAUUUUGAUAUCCUUCAACGAAAGUAACACAGACUUGCUUCUUUUUUUUUUUUUUGAGAUUGAUGGAAGGAAAAGAAAUAAUCAAGACUUCAAUAAUGGAAAGGGAAACAAGAAUAACGCUAGGCAAGACGGCAUGGAUUUCAAAUGUUUUUUUUUUCCAGCGUUCAAUUCCCCUGGAGUCUCAAUAUUUGGAUUGUAGGUUUUUUAAGAAAAAAUUUUUACAUUUUUCAUGAACACAUUUUUUAAUUAUUUUAUUAUUUUAUAUAUAUCAAAUUAUUAUAAUAUUUUUUUUACAAAAAAUUUUAAAAAAUAACAAUCUAAACGCAAUUGCAGCACUAGUGCUUAGCAAGCUUGAAACAACCCUCUCGAAUUAAGGUGUGAUCAUUUUGACCAAAAAAAAAAAAUUAAGGUGUGAUAAUGCUGCACGUCAUCUACGAUUUUUCAGAUUCCUACUUCUUCUAUAUUUUGACAAACGGCAUGUCUGUGUCUAGCAAGAAGUGUGAUAGUGCUGUACGGCAUCAACAAUUUUUUAGAUUCCUACAACUUCAAUACUUUGACGGGAUAAUUUUAAAAAACCUCCCUUGAGAUUUUGAUAAUUUUACUCUGCUCUCCUCAAUUUUAAAUAAUUAUGCUUACCUCCCUUGACAUAAUAAAGUACUUAUAAUGACCUUCACUUAAUAGACAAUUCACAGUAUAAUACAAUAUAUUUGUAAAACCAAAAAAAAAAUCAUAUUUAUCUAUGUCUUGGCUAGCUCUACUCUUCUCUUUUCUAGUUAUUAUACUGUCAUAUUCUCUCUUUUUUUCUUCAGUUUUAUAGAUAUUACCAAAUUGAAAUUGUAAAAUUAGUAGUUCAAUUGAAAUGACAAGACUCGGAGUCAUAGAGAAAAAAAAUAAUGAAAUUAAUGAUUGAAACAGGUUGGAGGAUCAAAGAUGAAAAAUUUACCAUAUAUUUUUUUUCUGUGGCAAGCAUUGAUGAUCCUUUGGAUAGUUGCUUUGAUUUGGAACUAGAGUUUUUACUUAGGUGGUUGUUAUGAAUUGGGAUGGUGGAUUUGUGCAGAGUGUGAAAGAAAAGGAUCGAGUAUACUGUAUUUUUUUUUUUUACUUUUGUAUUAAAGGGUAAUUUAGGAUUUUUGAGAAAAAAUCUAGUUUGUCGGACUUAUAUUAUUAUAUAAACAAUAAAAAUAAGGAGUUAUAUGUAAUUUUUAAAAUUAAAGAGAGCUCUUGCAAUUAUGAAAAAUGUUAAGGAAGGUUCAUGAAAUUAUCCCAUACUUUGACAAAAGACGUGUCAAUGUCCGGCAAGACGUGUUAUAAUGCUGCACGCAUCAAUGAUUUUUCACAGCCCUACGACUUCAAGACUUUGACAAAAGACAUGUCUGUGUCUGGCAAGAAGUGACAUAAUAUAAUAAAGAGCAAAUUUUCCAAAUAGUCCUUCAACUUUUUAACUAAUUCACAUUUGGUCCUUCAUCUUAAAAAUGAGAUAGAAUGAUCCUUCAACAAAAUUUUUUAGACCAAAUUGGUUCUUAUAUGGCAUAGCAGCCAAGAAAAAGUUGGAUCAAAGUGGUGAUGAGAUUUGAAUUUUCUUACCUGUUCCGUCACAUAGGGACCAAUUAAGCCUAAAAAAUUUCGUUGGACAGCCAUUAUGUCCCAUUCUUAAGAUGAAGGAUCAAAUAUGAAUUAGUAAAACAUUUGAAUGACUAUUUGGGGGACUUGCUCCAUAAUAAAAUUGAAAAGCUGGGAUGUUUGGAAAAUAUUUAGAGGCUUGUAGCAAAGUGUGUUAAUGGGAAAAAAAUGAUUUGAUGGGCAUACCCAUGAGAUAAUCUUGACCUAUUGAACUUGAAGAGGACACGGCUGCUGUGGAAAUUAUAAGUACAAAGACAAUUCGUGGUUUCUGAGCUACAGCAAUGAGUGAUAUUUUUAGGAACAUCUGUUGGGGUUUUUGAUAAUUAUGUAGUAUUCUUAAACUUCUAAAAAUAUCACUUACCUCUCUCAUUUGAAGUCAACAUCACAAGUCACCAAUAUUUUUACCCUCAAUACUAUAGGUUUAUUCUGGAAAAAUACUUUCCAACCAAAAGAAUUGGCAUGAUUUUCUUCUUUUGCUUUUUUUUUUUUUUUGAAUUUUGGCCUGUUUUAAUGAAAAUGUCGCAUAUAUUAGUCCCAAUUCAGGAGCUUAUAUUUUUGGGUGUAAUUCUUUUAUGCCAGUUUACCUACCACAUUCCCCGCAUUAAUUUCACUGCCUUCAUAUUAUUGGAAGAGGUUGUAUUUUCAAUACCGAAGUAGAGCCUGUUUUAGGGUUUUUUUCCUCCGCUCUCAAUUUUUUUUCUUAGUUUUGGCUCUCAAAAUUUCUGGUUCUGGCCUUGCAAUUAGAACCACUUUUUUUUUUUUUACUAAUAUUGAAAGAUUUGGUGAAUCGGAUGACUUCCCACUUGAAUUUCAAGUGACCAAUCUAGUUUUCUCUAUUUCUUGACUUUAUAUUUUAGAAUAUGUUCAUCAAUGUUUCAAUUCUUUUCAUCUCAACUCUCUCCAUAUGCAUUUCGAGCAACAUAAGUAUCCGUUCCGAUUUCAACAAUAAUGUGCUUAAUAGUUGUUAUAUAUUGUUAUAUUUAGUUGCAUUACAAUAACAAACACUACACAAAAUUUUCUUGGAUUUUAAAUCUUUUAUUAAUACUAAUAAGGAUUUUGGAUAAUGAAGGAACAAGACAACUGAAAGGGCAAUUUUGAAAUAAAAAUAUGCUCAUUUUACUUAAAUGAAUCAUUUAAUCUUACUUUGCUUCUAGUUAGGGGUGGUAGAUGAAUCGAGUUACUCGCAAGGAAUUUAGUCAAAGCUCUACUCGAACUCGAGUUUGACUGAUAUUCGAGUCAAUUAUUGAAUCGAAUUCAAGCAUCUAGGUAAUUGUUAAAUUACCUAAAAACCUAUAUUUUUAGAAAAAAUUGUCUUACCACUCAAGCUGGAAUUUGAUCUUAAUUUGCUUCUUGAGCACCUUUAUCUUUCACAUGAGCCGAACUUGACCUUCAAAGUUGAUGAGCUCAAACUGAGUUUGAGCUCAAGUAAUGUCUUCAAGCUCAUCGAGCUCUAGCUUGAAUACAUUCUGUAUUUGAGUUUGACUCCGUUCAUUGCCAUUCCUAUCCUAGUCAUUGGACAUGUUACAAAAUAAUUUAUUUUGGGGAGGUUAAUGAGAUUUUCAAAAGUUUAGAAGUUCCAAGCGGUAUUCACAAACACCUUAGGGAAGGUUUUCGAAAUUAUCCGAAGAAUCAAUUCAAAGCCAAUUAAUGGAUGUGGCACAGAUUAACCUUAUCAAUCAUGACCGUGUGCAUAAAGCCCCCACUGGAGAUCGGCAUUCAAACACCCAGUGGAGUUCAUUGCCAUGCUAACUUAUUUCAGCCCUGAUGGAGACUUGGCUGCCCUUAGCCUUGGCAUGGGUUGUUGCAUUGGCUUUUCUCUCAAAAGUAUCCACUCGCAAACGCCUAAAGCUAAAUCAUCCACCAGGACCAAAACCAUGGCCUAUUGUUGGCAACUUGAAACUCCUAGGUUCAAUCCCACAUCAAUCCUUACACUUGCUGUCCCAGAAAUAUGGAGAAAUCAUGCAACUAAAAUUUGGUUCCAGCCCUGUUGUAGUAGCUUCAUCCCCUGAAAUGGCAAAAGAAUUCUUGCAAACACAUGACAACAUCUUCGCUUCUCGGCCUACAACUGCUGCUGGCAAAUACACUAGCUAUAACUGCUCCGAUUUGACAUGGGCACCUUAUGGUCCAUUCUGGCGACAAGCUCGUAAACUUUAUCUUACCCAAAUAUUUAAUCCAAAGCGACUUGACUCCUUCGAGAGCAUACGCAUUGAAGAAAGGCGUGCUUUCAUUUCUAGCUUGUAUGCUCUCUCAGGAAAGCCAGUAGUUAUGAGAGAUCAUCUAACACGUCUUACCCUCUCCACUGCAAGCCAGAUGGUCUUGAGUAACAAGUACUUUGCACAAUCUGAAGGGGAGAGAUCUCUACCUACCUUUGAAGAAUUCCAAGAGAUGAUAGAUACUUGGUGUUUGCUGAGUGGUGUGUUCAAUAUUGGGGAUUGGAUACCAUGGCUCGACAGAUUUGACCUCCAAGGUUAUGUAAAGCAAAUGAAAGAACUUCACAAGAAAUUUGAUAGAUUCCAUAACCAUGUGCUUGAUGAUCACCAGGCCAGGAGGAAAACAGAGAAAGAUUUUAUCCCUAAGGACAUGGUUGACAUUCUAUUGCAAUACGCUGAAGAUCCAGAUCUCCAGGUUAAACUCACCAGAGAUCAGAUAAAAGGGCUAAUUCAGGUGCUCUUUCUUCUCAUUGUUUAAUCAAAUUCCUAGGUCUCUUUGCCUCUUUAAGUUACUGAAUCUCAAAGCCAGCAGUCAUGCUUAGUAUAAUGUGCCAUUAAAGAUAACUGUCUCCUUUCUUCUAAUUAAGAGUUUUUUAUUUCCUUUCUAGAUUAAUAGUAUUAUAAUAUUUGAUCAUAGAGGCACUAACUUUACCAUUGUGUUGCUGACCAGAACGUGCUAUUAAAGAUAAGUGCCUUCACCCUCAAAAAAAAAAAAGGAUAACUGUCUUCUUUCAUCCUUCUGAUUAAGAGGGCUUUGUUGAAUUUUCCAAGAUUCCAAUACGAGAUUUUUAUCUUUUAUCGUUUGGGAAAAAAAAAUACGAGAUUUUUGAAUACAACUAUGAUAUAAACGCGUACCAUUUAUAAAACUAAUCUCUGAAAAAAAAAAAAACUAUUAACUAGAUUCACAUUGAUUCAUUGCUAUUUUAAUCCUUUAAAUCUUAGGCUGGCAUUUCAAAUCAACAUGUAUUCUUUUAUCCUUAAAGAGGAUUCUUCAAUUUCUCUCGGUAUCUGGGAUAUACGAACUAUUUUGCAAAACCAAAGUAUACGACAUAAAAAUGCAUGUGAUCCGGGGAUUAUAACUAUAAUAUAAAUAACUUUUCUAUUAUCUUUUGGUAUUUCUAUUUUAAUCCAUCAUAAAAAUAGAAAUUAUUCACAAGUCUCUAUACAUUAAAAGUUCAUAUCUUACUAAAUAUAUUAAAAUUAUAAUUAUAAUUGAUUACUUAAUUGGAUUUAAUCUAAUUUGACAGUUUGCAAUACAUAAUUAUUCACAUAUAUAAGUCUAGCUUUGGAUCUAGGAUCCAACAGUUUUUUUCCUUCCAAUCUGUUGUAAAUCAUGAUACUUCACCAAUAUUUAAUCAUGGCAGGACUAACUUUACCAUUAUUUGAUCAUGGCCAGGACUUGCUGGUUGGUGGUACCGAAUCCUCAGCCCUUACAGUAGAAUGGGCAUUGAAUGAACUUCUCAAACAUCCACGUCUCAUUCGAAAGGCAACCGAAGAGCUUGACAGAGUGAUAGGGAGAGAUAAGUGGGUGGAAGAGGCUGAUUUCUCAAAACUGCCUUUUCUAGAGGCGAUCAUAAAGGAAACUUUUAGGUUACAUCCAGUGGCAACGCUACUUUCGCCCCGUUAUGCCCUCGAGGAUUGCACUGUAGCUGGUUAUAACAUUGCUAAAGGAACAACGGUGUUUAUAAACACAUGGAGUAUAGGGAGGAACUCAAAGUAUUGGGAUUCUCCUGAAGAAUUCGUUCCAGAGAGGUUUUUGGAGAAGGAUAUUGACAUGAAGGGACAAAACUUUGUGCUACUGCCCUUUGGCUCAGGUCGGAGGAUGUGCCCAGGCUAUAACCUUGGAAUCAAACUUAUUCGAUCAAUGUUGGCAAACUUGUUGCAUGGAUUCAACUGGAAAUUGCCUCAUGGCAUGAAACCAGAGGAAAUUUGCAUGGAAGAACACUACGGACUCACAACUCAUCCAAGGAUUCCACUUGCUAUGAUCCCAGAACCACGUUUGCCGGUCAAUCUCUAUUAGCAAGUAUUGAUUUAAGGCAAAAUUGAAAUAUAUUCCUACUCUGCAUCAAUCAAAGGUUAAACUUAAUCUCCCCUCUCCAAUUGUAUCAUGCCCUUUUGAUCACUUAGCUCCAUUUAGGUGAGAGCUUGGGAGUUGGGACAGAGUAUAUUUGACCUAAGGAAACUUUGAAGAGACGAUACUCCUUUUGGUGAUUUCUAUUGUGAAAUAAUACAAAAGUCACAAUCAUGCUGGUUUUCUUUUCUUUCUUGAAAUUGCUUUUGGUGAAUUCUAUAUUGUGAAAUAAAAGAGAAGUCACAAUAUAUUUUUUUUGCUAAAUAAAAAAAGUCAAAAUAUCGCAAUUAUGACGUGUGGAAGAAUUGACAUGGAAAUAUUGAAGACUGCAGAGCGAGGGGGAAAAACUGGCUCUUUUGUUAGCAAAGAAAAUAGGUACGCAACGGAAUUAAAUAUAGCAUCUCAAAAAUUUGAUGAACAAACAAGGAGGCCCUCAAUUAGAGCCACAAGUCUUUUCAAGUUCUCGAGAACAAAAGAUAACAUUCACGAAAGCAGAGUUGGCGCAACUUACUGGACCAGAGAAGGAACAAAACUAACCUUGUGCAAUGACCAACUUUAUGAUUGGUUCGCACCAGGCCUGUAAAAAAGACAAAACAAAUCUGACUUCUUGACUUCAUACUACUAACACAUGUUUCAAUAAGGCAAUGCUAACUAUGAACCCAAUUCCUAUGCAACUUCAAGAAUCUAACCAAACAGAUUGAACAGAGACACCCAAUUUAAGUAAAACUAGGGGUGUCGAGGUUAAUUAAGUAGCUCAUGAGUUUGCUCUGUCAAAGUUCUAAAACUUUUCAUUGGUCAGGUUUAAGCUGGAAUUCGAGCAGUUCAAGCUACUUGACGAGUCGAGUUCGACUUUAAUAUAUGAAACUCGAAAGCUUGUCAAAGUUAAUCGAAUUCAAUUGAGCUUCAUGCACACAUAUAUUAAUUUUUUAUAUAUAUAUUCUAAAAAUGUACGAGUUGGCAUUGGUUUUGGGCUAAAUAUAAUUAAGUGAAUAUGAAUACAUCUCAAAUUAAAUUCAAUUAGAAAAUGAGUUAAAUUAUCUUACCACAACAUUGCAUGAAAAAAAUAAAAAUUGUUGUACCAUAAAAGUUUUACUAUAUGGAUGAUAGGUGUCGAGCCUGUGCAAUAAUAAAAAUAGAACCUAACUACCACUAAAAGCAGUCAAUAAUUAAUCCUAGGUACUGGAGCAGGGACUCUAGGUAUGUAAUAGGUUACUUGAUUCACCCUGUUCCCGAAGAGUUUGCUUAACCCGAUAUACCAGAAUUAAUUAAUUGACAAAAACUACUAAAUAGUAGAUAGUGGCAAGCAGAGUUGUCUCCUCAAGGAUUGGGGAUAUUUGUCUCUUGAAAUUCCAAUUGGUAAAGGGGGAUUUUAUCAGAAUGAAACUAAAAACAAUUAAGCAAUUCAACUAAAAAUAAAUAAUUAACUAGCACGAAUAUAGCAGGAAUUAAAUCAAGACUAGAUAAAUUCUAGCCAAGGAUGCAACUAUUCAGACACAGUCCACUUACUCGAUCAUGAUUAAUAGGCUAGUUAUAAUCGCCGACGAACUCUAACGAUCAAUUUUUCCUUAAUUUAUUGAUAACCAAGAUAAGACCAUUGAUUACUCCUAACCAGAAAAUAUUCCUAGGUACGACCGUAGGAAUUAAUUUCUCAAUUGCAUUAAGAUCUAGAAAAACCUAACCCCAAUCAAUAACACGCUACGAGGGUUAUUUAAAUUAAAUUGCACGUUCUCCUAGUGUGUAAACAUGCCAGUUGCCACUAAUAUUAAUCAAUCAAACAAUUACGGAUUUAAUUGACUAAUUUAGCAGGAGAUUAAUAAGUCACAUUGAACAUCGGACCCUUGACAUCCAAUUAACAAAAUAAUCCCAUGGAAAUUCAAAUAGGUAACGUGCAAAUAUUAACAAAUUAAGAAACGCGUGAAAACUAAUUAGAUCUCACAGAUAUUCGGGACUGCGCCGUCGAGUUGAUCCUUGACUAGAUGAAAGGCUUAGCCACGCCGCAUAAAUAAACCUCCACGCAAAUUAAUUGACUGUAAAAGCAUCGCAUUUGUCACUAGAAAGCAAGAGGUAAAAGCUAUUUUUCUAGUAUGGAAUUACAUCGAACAGAAGGCACGCAUGCCAAGUAGAAGAAAAGAAACUAAAACUCUUGCUUAAGAGAUGUCCCUGGCCUCUGUACCUUUUUUUUUCUUUUCAAAGCCAAAAGGAAAUAACUAAUGCUAUCUCCUAGUGGUCCCCACGCAAUUGAGAGUCAAAGAGCCAAAGAGUCGGAGCUCUGCCGAAAUCCUUGUUUUUAGUUUCCUCUUCGUAAGAAAACUCCUAGUCAGUAGCUAUCUAAUCAGCAAAAGAAAUGCAAUCCGUCUGUGGCACCAUGUGGGCCAGGUCUGUGGCUUGUUUGAAGUCUCAAUUGUCUCCAAAAAAUCCCUCCUUUUUUGUAGUUUUCUGCUCCACCUCCUAAAAUUGAGUCCAAAUAUCAAAUAUAAGUAAAUAUUAAUAAUUAAAAUAAUAUUUGGCAAGGACAAAGGGAAAAAUUAACAAUAAAAUUACUAACAAUUAACACCUUAUCAAUGGAUUGAAGCACAAAUUAGAUUGCUCUUUUUAAGAUAAUUUGCGCAUAUGAAGUAUUAUCCGAUGCAAUAGGUUUUAGCAUGUCGCUUCUAACUUGUUUUUGAUUGCAGUUUAUCCUAAUCCAUACCAAUAGGUUGGACAAAAACUUAACACAACAGUGUUUUUUUUUUAAUACCAUAAAAGCUUUACUGCAUGGAUUGAAGCACAGAUUAGAUUGCUCUCUUUAAGAUAAUUUGCACGUAUGAAGUAUUAUCUGAUGUAAUAGGUUUUAGCAUGUUGCUUCUAACCUAUUUUUUACUGCAAUUUAUCCUAAUAUACCAAUAGGUUAGACAAAAACUUAACACAAUACUGUUUUUACUUCAAAUGAAAUUUAUACUAUAUAUAAAGGGAGAGUAGUGAUAGUUGGUAUAAAGAUUUUCUGUCAUUUUUAUGAACUUUCAAUUUUACCCCUUAGAAAAACUAAUUUGUUGUCCUAAUUACUUGAUCACAUUUGCCAACAUCGCUGCUCAUAACUACACUAAAUAUUCCAGCUACCAAAUUAUCUAUUUUUUAAUUGAAGGAAAAUUAUUUAUAAAUUGAAGUUUGUUAAUGAAAAAUUCUUUUAAAAUUUAUUUCUGCGAAAAUAAAAUUUGUGAAUUUAUAAAAAUAAUAAUUAUCUCUAAAUUGCACACAUACUCGGUGUGCCUUUAACACUAGUACAUAUAACAUAUCUAAAACUAGUUUAGUAUUAGUAGAAUAUAGUAGAAGAAUCUCCUUAUCAAGAGUAAGAAAUAUAGGUGUAACAAUAAUGUAAGAUAUCUGUUGUUUGAACAUUUAUUUAUAGGUAGAAUAUCAUAUGAGUACAACCUUGACAAUUGACAUUAAAUCUAAUGACAAUACAAAAUUUUAGUUUGAAAAUACUAUUGCUUGUAAUGCCAUGUAUAACGGUCAAAUUAUUAUGAAAAUAACAUUAGAAAAGUUUCUCAUUUUUGUUAUCAAAUUUGCAAUUGAAAAUCAUUGAAUAAUAAUUGUAAUUUUUUUUGUUAAAUUACUCCAACAAUACCCCCUUUUAUUUUAAUAACAAAUAAGUGGGGGACGUGAAACCAUUUAAUUUUACAUAACAUUGUCUUAGAGUUCUAUAUAGUCCCUUCCUCAACUUUCAUUUAUUUUUUUCCAAUUCACUCAUCUAGUAGCUAAAGGUGUGCACCUUAAUCAAAUUCUUACUUUUUAGAUCUACCUACUACUGUCCUAACACACCACGAAUCAAUUCAAUACCCUACUAUUGCAAUACUAAAACGACUCAAUGAUGUCCUAACACAUCGUUCUUGGGCUGAUCCUGUGAGAUCGAUUUUAGUGCUUCUGUGAUUUUUGUGGUUCGGCGUUAUAAUCACUGAUGGCCGACUUUUCUGUUCAUUCUUCGAUAGUAAAGUGUUGGGCAGUUACUGACCAACAAAUGCUUUGAUGAAGAAGAGUUUGUACUUUGUAGCAUUAUAAAAUUGAGAACGGAUAAAUUGUACUUGUUGGCCCGAUGGAUACGAAAUCUUGUGGCACGUCUAUUCUUCACUAAAGUUAUUAGAAUUGGGCCACAGAUUUACAUGAAUCUUCCUCCAUCUUCUCUGUUAAUUACGGCUUUUUCAAAUCGAGUUUGUAAUUUUCAAGUUGAGCUUUUAUCUUCUUCAGCAAAUAGCAUCCAAUUUAAGGUACUUAAGUUUUGGCCUUUACUCAUUUGACUUUAUGUUAUGACCUUCCGUCUGAUACGUUGUCGGGUAAACGGGGCCUCACAAGUUUCAUUUCAUACAAAUUGGUGUAAAUUAAUACUUUACUUUCAACUUGCAUCAAAUUAUCUUUAAUUUACACUAAAUGAUAAUAAUUAACUUAUACCAAACGGUACUUAAUUUACACCAAAUAAUAACAAAUCAACAUACAUUGAAUUGUAACUUAUUUACAUUAAACUUGACCUGAUUUAUACGAAAAUCUUAUUAAUUUAUACCAGAGGUCAAUUUGUGUGAAAUUGUACGAAACAUAAAUUGCGAAUCCCCAGAUCCUGUUGUAGGAUAUUCCUCAAGAUGAUUGCCUUGAGUUUUUUCUUGUUAAUUUUUAGUGUUUUUUAAUAGCUGUUUUUAAAGUGUACGUGAUGUGUUUUUAAGGUGUAUUUUGGAUAGAUAAUCAGUGAGCCCGUGCUAUCUCCUUUGACGGUGAUGCGAACGGUCUCAUCUGCAUUAAGAUGAAUAGGCCGCAAUGGAUCUUCACUGGCAAAUUGUUUUCUUUGUUUUUUGAAAAAAAUUGCUUGGAGUAUAAUAAAGUUUAAUUUCAUGAAAAGUUUGUUUAGGAUUUGAUUAUAGACCGUUGAUAAUAUUUUACUAUAAAUUAAUAUUUCGUUUACGUUGUAUUUGUGAUUCAUACUGUUGGUCAUGUAAUUAUUGUCCUUUGUAGAAUUUACAAUUUAUAAGAACUUAAUCAUGAAUAUGUUCCAAAACAAUUACACUACUGAAGCACAACCUGAAUUAUAUAUAAACAAGCUAUAAAAGUGUAUUUAAAAUGGUAGUAGAUUAAUUGAACAAAACUACAAAACUACUGCACUAUUUAAAAUGGUUGUUUUUGACAAAUUUCAAUCCAUGAUCAUUAGCUCAAUCAACCAUAAGAAUCCCCAAAUUGACUUCACUUCUAAUAACUUUAGACAUUUUAUUUUUUUAGUUGUUGUCAAUCAUUUCUCGAGAUGUGAUGUCCCUUGGAUUUGUCGACCUCGUGCGACGUCGGCGUCAGUUAAGAAUGCUUGGUUGUCUUCCGGUAGGAAAUUUUGCUUUUGCUUGGUUGUCAUGUCCCUUUACUAUUGCUUCCCUUUCUGCCAAGACGCCUUCGAGUUCUAGUCGUGAUUGUGCUUGGUUGUAUUGUAAUGGGAAAUUUUGGAUAACAAAUCACCUCACAGGAUACCACUAAUCACUUGACCUGGAAAUUGGAGGUUUUGCCAUUUAAGUCGAUUUUCUGGUUUAGCUCCCCAUGUCUAGAGACACCUUUUUUGUGAUAAUUUCCUUUUGAUUAAUCCAUACAUAAUAUUGAACGUUCAUGUUAAUCGAUUGUCGAAACUUCUAAUUUGCUAAUAUUUGCUGCUUUUUUCCAAUAUCUGCAAACAAAAUAUGAUCACUUUUGUUUUUUUUAUAUGAUAAUAGUCAUACCGUGAUCAUCAUUUAGUUGGGAAAGAAUAUGUUGAAUAUUACAAAGCAGAAAGUUUAAGUGAAAAAUUUUGAAUUCGAAACCUCUUACUUUAUUAAAAAAAAAAAAAACUAUGAUCAUUAUUUAGAACGGCAAUGUCAACAUCCUCUGUUGUAUCCGGUAAUUGCUGCUUCGUUUCAAGCAAAACUAUCAGUAUCUGCCGUUUGUAAUUUUAUGAUAUCGUAAUUGUAAAGAAAUUUCAUUCUUCUCUUUCCAAUUGUCCAUAGAUUUUCUAUGGAAGCUGUGCCCCCGGUGAGUUUUCUAUCAGGGCUCCGUAGAUGAUGGUGUAUCUCAUUAGACCGCAGAGUCUCCAAUCAAUCAGGAACCAGUGGGCCCCAUGCUUUUAGCUGGAUGGGCCUGGAUUUUCUCAGGCGGGGCCCAGCAAAAGUUGUGAAUGGCCGACCGUGCAAGAAAUUUUUAAUCUUCUCUGGUCUCUGGAGUGGACUCUUGAACAAGUCAACAAGUCAACGGACGAUCGGUAUUCUCUGGACCUGAGGUCCCAAACAGCAAAACAAUAUGAAAUUAAACAUAUGUUGGCCUAAAAUAUUUCCAAAUAAGAUUUAAAUGAGUUUUUUUUUUCACUUUAAUUUAUCAGAAUUUAUUAAUAAUUGCGGUCUAUUUUUAACUAUUUCAUUAAAUCUAGCUGUCGAAAGAAAAAAAAGUUUGGAAUAUGCUGCAGCUUAAUACAUGAAAAUUUUGUUUGGGAUUGAUUGCACCUUUACUAAAUUAAGUUUUAUUAGAGUUGUAAGUUGUUGACUAACUAAGGUUUCUAGAAUUUAUAACUUCUGAGAAAUUAUACUUUCUUCUCGCUAUUAGAUUCAGUCUUAAGUCUAGCAAUUAGGGGUGGGAAGGGUGUGGACAGGAGUAGAAGGUAUAAAAAAAAGCUAUUGCUAAGAUGUAUUCGGGUUGUAUUCAGAAACUCUUGCAAAAUUGCUUCUCCUGAAAUGUUUCCAAAUUUCAGGUUUAAAAUAGACAAGAAAUUGCGGUCCAGAUAUUUGAUGCAAACCAAAACACAUGAUGGAAAACGUUUGAUUUACGUAUAUAAACCCUGUAUUGACCGUAACGUAGGAGUAGAACAAGUCGAGGGUUAGAUUUUACUUCACAUAGUUAGAUUUUCUUUUUUUUUUCCCCUUUACCAGAGCAUAAUAUAAUGGGAACUUACUUUUUUAUUUUCCAAAAAAAAUAAAAAUUGCAUUGCUGGAAAUGGAUGAUAUGAGAAGCUUGGACAGGAAGAAGAAAUAUAGAGGAAAAUAGAGAUAAGGACAAAAUUGAAAAUUCUGACAUUGUUUUAAUUAACAAUAAAAGCUAAUAUGGCUUAACAGAGGGACCGGCAAAGUGCAUCAAAAUAAAUGUUAAGAGGUCAAGUCCAAAUAGUACUAAGGGUAAAAAACAAAAAACCCCCCUGUGAUAAACCUAAUACACAGAAAAGCCCCCCAUGGUUUCAAAAUAUACAACACGACCCCUCAUACUUUGAACUAAAUUGUAAAGGUGACGGAAUCCGUUAAGUUUAACGGAAAUGGUCAAAAUGACCAAAAUACCCUGAUAUAAUUCAACAAAAAAACAGCUCAAAAAAUCAUUUAUUUUAUUUUCUAAGUAGAGAGAAUUGAGAGUUAAGGGGUAGAAUAGGUAUAUUUGAUAAAAAAUUAGGUAUAAAAAUUUUUUUUUAGGUUCCAAUAUGUCAUUUCCGUUAAGUUUAACGGAUUCCGUCACCUUUACAAUUUAGUUCAAAGCAUGAGGGGUCGUGUUGUAUAUUUUGAAACCAUGGGAGACUUUUCUGUGUAUUAGGUUUAUCACAGGGGGUUUUUUUGUUUUUAACCCUAGUACUAACCGUCUUUCUGGUACCACAUUAUAAAUUUAAACCCUUGGCAGCCCAUCUUUUUUCUUGCAACUGUAACACAAUUGGCUACAGGUUCGGCAGGGUCAUGAGUUCACAAAACAUCGCCAUUUUGGCUUCAGCAAUGGUGUGGAUUUUCUUACUUUCUUGGGUAAUAUGUUUUUCUUGUUUGCAAGUCCAUGCUGCAGGAGAAGGCAAAAGGCCGCUGAUUUCCAUGAAUGGUUGCAAUUUAUCUGAAAAAGAGCUUAAGUUUGAGGAACAUGCACGAAGGGAACUCAUACCAGGCAGAUCCAGUAAGUCCUUUGAUAUAUAUAUACAUAUAUAUAUAUAUUCUUAGCAGCUAUCCUUCAUCUCCAAGCAUUGUCAGGCACUAUUCUUAGCGACAUCUAAAUAAUUUAUUGUGCGUCUAUUUAGUUAUUCCACUAUAUGCCAUUUCGUUUCCGCUGAGAUACUUCUGUCAAGAAUUUUAGGCCUUUGUACGUUAAUUUUGGUCUUGCACUGUAAGUUUGGAGAACUACACCGACGGUACACACACAGGCACAGACAGAUAUAUUCAAGAGCUCGUUUGGAUGGGUGUUUUUGAGAAUAUUUUUUCAUAAAACUUUAACUCUAGAUAUGUGUUUUAUAAAACCAUUUGAUAUGGUGCUUUAAAAAUGUUUUCAAGUGUUUUUGGGAAUGAUUUUAAAACUGAUGAUAGCGCCAUCCUCUUCUCACCUCUACCCUGCCCUCUGAUCUCCACUCUCUCUCCCCCCGCUUCUUUUCUCCACCUCUGGCCACCCUCGCAUUCCAUCCCCUCACCCCUCCUAUUUUCCACCCUUCCUUGUCACCUCUAAAAAAAAAAAACCAUCAAAUCACCCCUACCAGAUUGCAUAGAUCUUUCAUGUGGCCAUAUCAUAAAGGGACGAGGGCGCAAGGGAAAGAGGGAGUGUGGUACUUAUAUUUAGAGAUUUAAUUAAACCCGAAUUAUGAGUAGCAAAGAAUGAUUGCAACAUUCAUUUUCUGAGGGCUUGGGGACAAAGCCAUUAAGGGUUUGUUUCGAUAUGUUUCAACUUGUAAAAAAGUAUUUGAUUGUUCAUAAACAUAUUCUCUAAUCACCUUUUGAUUUCACAUACAUCAUAUCAUAAAAAUAUUACGAUAUUUCAACAAAUUUCAAAAAACUGCCCAUCCAAACACGCUCAUUGUUUCUAAUUUCGGUUGUAUAGAUCAGUCCAAAUGCACAGAUUUGUCGAUGACAUGAUUGAUUUUUGUCUGCAGGUUUCACCAGUAUCGACUGUGGCAUAGAAAAUGGUAACGAUUAUACAGACAGCGAAACUGGAAUUAGUUAUACAUCAGAUGCGCAAUAUGUUGAAAGCGGAGUAAACAUGAAAAUAUCUGAUUUAUUCUUGUCUCAAACUCAAAAUUAUCAAAAGCUGCUGUCAACUGUUAGAAGUUUUCCUGAAGGAAACAGCAGUUGCUACACGCUAAAACCAACAGCAAAUGGCGGAGGCAACAAGUACUUGAUUAGAGCAUUCUUCAUGUAUGGAAAUUAUGAUUUGAAAAGUCAACCACCACUUUUCAAACUCUACCUUAAUGCAAAUGAGUGGGAUGAAGUAAAACUGGACAAUGCAUCUCAGAUUCUGAUCAAAGAAGUCAUACAUAAUCCUCCUACAGAUUAUAUACACGUCUGUCUUGUCAAUGUUGGCUCCGGAACACCUAUUAUUUCAGCACUUGAGAUAAGAGAGUUGAGCAACACCAUCUAUGAUACUAUGUAUAAUGAUUCGCUAAUCCUCUACAGAAGGUUAGAUGAAGGUGCAAGUUCAACGAUUAGCAACAAAUUCCAGAGGUAAAUAAGGUCUAUAUAUGAGUAAGACUAUUAUUAAUUAUUUGAAUAUUGUUCUUUGCAUUUUAGACGAAAUUAAUAUGGUUUUCCAAUUCUUCAUUUUCAGGACUGCAUGUCUAUUAUUAUUUUCUGUAGUUUGGAAUUUUCAGUGUUCAAAACCACACUAAGCUCAGGUGCCUGUCUAUUCAAGGGCAAAAAAUAGUCGAAUCUUUCUCACUAUCUUUUAAUACUGGAUAACUCUUCAAUUGUCAUUUUUUCGAAUUCGGGAUUUUAAGACUAUUGCACAAGGUUCAAUUAUAUACGAAGUUAACUUUAAGUUGAAACCCAGACCCCUCAAAUCACUCCUAAAUCCCCAUCUUUUUUUUUUCCCCAAAAACAAGACCAGAGCAAAACAAGAUAACUUUCCCAUUAACGUGAAAAAAUAGAUUCCUAGUAUUACUACAAGAGGCGCCUAGUUUAGUUGUUAAACAGUGUUUUGAAUUUCAGAUAGAAUUGGCUGAUUCAAUUGAUUGAACCAUGAACAGUCAAUUGCCCCGUCAAAGCCUUCUCAAUGAGCUGGUCAAACUUAGUUAAAAACUGGAUUUGACCUGAGAAGAUCAGGAAAAGAUCUGAAAAUUUGGUUUCUUCAAACUUAGUUAAAAUUGGUAACUUUCCUUCUUGUUUUCUAAUUUUACAUUUUUUUUGUUGAAGCUUUCCUUAAUUAUUCUUGACUCGAGUUUGAUACUCAAAAUUUUUGUGGCAUUUAGGUUUGCAUUUGAAUAAUUUGGACAACUAAUUCUUUCACGAACUUUUUCGAGUUACAAUCUUAGUUUCUAAAUUUUGUUAAUUAAGUCUUAUGAAUUUAGUAGUAAGAUGUUAUACUUUUGUUGUGCAUGAAUUCCUAAAAUUUCUUUCAGGUACCGGGAUGAUUUCUAUGAUCGUAUAUGGGAAGUCCCUGACUACCGGCCUGAUUGGAAACCAAUUAACACAACUUCUUACAUUACUGAAGAAUAUCUUGACAACGCCUAUAAACCUUCACCAAUCGUCAUGAGCACUGCAGUCAGGCCUGCGCAUGGAAGUUCGUUGGUGCUGUCUCAAAAUGUUGAUCGCAACCAACAAUUCUACUUGUACAUGCAUUUCCUCGAGGUGGAAGAUCUCCCAUCGACUCAAAUCAGGAAGUUUGCCAUAUAUGUGAACAAUAAAAUCUGGUCCGACCCUGUUGUUCCAGACAGUGGUCCAGAUACCAUCUACAGCACAUACUCUCGGGGUGGUGCUGAUACCCUACUAUUCUCAAUCAAUAUGACAAAUGAUUCUACACUUCCUCCAAUUCUCAAUGCCAUAGAGUUCUAUAUCCGCAAGAAAUUCCCUAUCUUGCCCACAAAUCAAAGUGACGGUACGCUUAAAUCUAAAGCCGUAUUUUUUAUUUGAUACUUCAUACUCAAUGAUACAAAUUAUUGGGAGAUCUUUGCUAAUUACAACAGUUCGUUCAAUUAUACUUAACCAAAAAAACAAUUGAAAACAUGAAAAAGUAAUCAUUAAAAUGAAGAAUUUUCGUAGGGUUUCUAUUGAAUGCUUUACAGCCCUGAAUUAUAUACAUUAAUUUUGUUCUUGGUUGAUUUCAGGAUUGUCCCUUUCUCAUAGCGAUUUAUCGUGUAUAAUUUUGUGUAAUUUUAUAUAAAAUCAAGAUACAGAUUCAUCGGCGUUGUGACCUUUUAUACGCUAUCUUCUUUCUUUCUUUUUUUUUUUUUGCAUGAUGUGUACAUACGAUGUAUCCUUCUAUAGGAGCUGUAAAAUUUUUUUCCCUCUAACUUUUUUUUUCCCCCACAAACUCUAGUUGACGCCAUGAUCAGCAUUAGGUUAACGUAUGGUCUAAAGAAAAAUUGGCAAGGAGAUCCAUGUGUACCCGAGGAACUUAGGUGGGAUGGACUAGACUGCAGCACCAAUGAUCAGGGUUUAUACAGAAUCAUUUCAAUGUCAGUUUCUGUUUCUACAACAAACUUCAUUUUUUGUAAUUGAAUGUGAAGAUGACUGCAUCCUUUUCUGCUAUUUAACCAUGUUGACGGAACUGAAUUAAUGCAGGAACCUAUCCUUCAGUGGGUUAGCCGAUGAAAUCACAUUCUCAUUGUCUAAACUUGAUUCACUACAAAGCUUGUAAGUAUAUCUACUGCCAUAUGCCAUAUUUCAUACAUUUAUUUUUUUUUAAAAUAAAAAUGGCCAAUUGCUUUUGCCACUUUUCUGAAACAAUAAUUGUGGGCAUUUUCUCUUUUCGUCAAAUUUCAUACCGUUGUAAGUAAAUUGUGAACUGCUAGAAAGAGUAUAUUGGAGAAAUUUUUAUUUUUUUAAAGUAUUGGAGAAAGUUCUUAUUCCAUCAAGACAAUUAUUUCGGAAGUGCAAAAGAAGAUUCCAGUCAGGAAAAAAAAAAAGUUAAAAGGUCUAGAUUGGAGUUAACCUGAUUAUAAGCUAACUACUAGAAAUGGUACUAGUACAACUACUAUUGGAGAUUUGGAGUCACGUAAGCCACAAAUACAAAUAAUUGUUUCGUUUAUGCAAUGAAUUCUUUUGCAAAUAAUCAUGUAAGUUAUACCUAUUUCCUAUGUUAAACAAGGGUUCCCAGUUGGCUGCAGGAAGAAAACUUCUUAUGUUUGCAUUCUAGAGUUGGACAUUUUAUGCAUCUGAAUUAGACUACAGAAGAAAAAUUAGGUAUAUCGUACUUCUAUCUCAUAUCGACAAUCAUUAUUCAGGGACAUGUCUCACAAUGACUUGACUGGAACAAUUCCAGAUUUUUUGGCCUACAUGCCUUCCUUAAGAACAAUGUAAGUUCCUACACGAUUUGCCUCGAGAAAAAAUUGUAGUUUUGAUCCCUAAUGUUUGGCCCGAAUGUUUAGUUCAAAAUAAAUCUGAUCCCCAAAAUUUGUGAUUUUAGUUAGAUUUAGGACAAUUAUCAGAAAUAGAAUAACGACUAACGGUCAUCAUCAAAUUGUUAUUAAUCAACAACUUUGACUUUGCACUUUUGGUCUCAAAUAUUUUGACUUUGAAUCAUCAUAUUUUCCUAAAUUUUAAAUAGUGAUAUUAAGAGUUUUAGCAUGAGUUGUAAUUAAACUUCUUUUUCUUCUUUUUAUUUUUAUUUUUAUUUCAUUUAUUCAUGCUAAUAAUAUAUCAUAUGUUUCUUUUCUUUUGCAAAGUUAGUCUUAAAUUUGGUAUAAUAUAUAUAUUAUUAUUUUUCAGUAUUAAUAAUUAAUUGAUAAUGAGUUUUAUUAUUUUUAUUUCUAAUGAUAAUUACAAACUUAAUUAAAUAUCCCUUUCAAAUAUAAGGAAUGUGUUGAUCUUUUUUUUAGGCCAUUUAAUAGGUUAUCAGUUGAAUUUAAAAUAAAGUAGGCAUCCUAUAUAUAUUAUAUUAAACAUUAAAUUAUUAUCACAAUAAAUAAAUAUAAAUUCUUUAAAACUACAAUAUUAGAACGUUAAAUUUUAAUUGGAAGGAUAGACAACAAAAGAUGAAAUAUAGUUUUCUUAAGGUAAGUACCAAUGUGAAGUAAUUUUUUAAAUUCUUUAAAAAAAUCUUUUAUUUUUUGUUGUCUUUCCUACCAAUUAAAAUUUAACAUUCCAAUAUUGUAGUUUUAAAGCAUUUAUUUUAAUAUCUAUGCACCUUAAUAAUCAUGUAGUUGUUCAUAUAAUGUGUAUAAAAUGGCAACUUAAUUUCAAACUCAAUUGAUAAUCUAUUAAAAUGCCAAAAAAAGAUCAACUUAGUUUACAAAAAAGUAUAUAGUCUUUAUAUUUUGAAGGGAUAUUUAAUUAAGUUUUUAAUUAUCAUUAGAAAUUCAAUUAAUUAUUAAUAAUGAAAUAAUAUACAUAUAUUAUACCAACUUUAAGACUAUGCAAAAGAAAAAUAUAUAAUAUAUUAUUAGCAUAAAUAAAUAAAAAUAUUUAAAAAAAAAAGAAAAAGAAGCUUUAUGUUUUAAAUUGUCAUUAUUUAAACUUUAUGGUUCAAAAAUAUAUUUUAGGUUACUCUGUGUAAAAGAAUAAAUUUCAAUUUCUUCUGUAGAGAAGGAUGGGGGACAGGAAAGGAAGAAACAGAAGUUGUUAAGGUGUGUUUUUCUCUUAUCUUGCAGUAACUUAUCUGGAAACAAGCUGGAAGGCUCAGUUCCUGCACUUCUUCUUGAUAAAAUGAACAACGGGGCAUUGGCACUCAGGUAUUUUAAAUUCUAGACCAUGACCCUUUUUCUUUUUGUUCUAUUCCAGAGGAUGACUUAUUUAACUACACAUUGGUUGAAUAGAAGGAAAGUUAUAUGGGAAAGUGAGAUAAAGAAAAGUGAAAAUGAGUUUCCUAUAUAAGUUUGGUUACGAAGAAAAAUAUUGAGAGAAUAUAAGAAGUUAAUGACAGUUAAUAGCAGUUAUUCAAACUUUCGUGAGUUAUUUUCCUCACAGCCCUGCAAAUUUUGUAGGACACAAAGUGCAGGAAAAUGCAAGAAAAAGUUUCAAUAUUCCUGCUAUGAAGAAAAAAAUAAGUAACUUUCAUUCAUUUCUUCACACUUUUCCGAUAAACAAACACUAUAUUUCACUUUUAUUUGAGACAUAGCAUCCCAUAAUGUUUUUAGAUUGUAUCAAUGAGUCAGAUUUGCUAAUAGAUCGAUCUAAUUAAAUUCAAGUGGGAGGAAAUUGGAAUUGUAUACCCAGAUAAUGCCAGAAAGAGACAAAAAAUUACAUACAAGUAAUUUUUGCUCAUUUGUUUUUUGGUUAAAAUGUAAUUUUUGUUCUUUUUCUUUUCAGUUAAAUUUUUUUUUUUUUUUCCUUUUGUGCAAGUUUGGAUGGAAACCCGGAUCUUUGUGUAUCAGGCCCUUGCAAGAAGAAGAAGUCUCAUAAGCAGAGAUUGAUCGUUAGCAUCGUUGUACCGACCAUAUCAUGUCUUCUUGGCAUAGUAAUCGGGGUAGCGAUUUUCAAGCACAGAAUAAAAGCCGCCUCAACGAAGGGUACUCCUUGAUAUCUCAACUGUUCAAAAUUGCACUACUCCUCCUUUCAAAAGCAUAAUAUUUUUGUUUGACAUACAAUUUUAUAAAAUUCGAGGGUUCAAAACAUAGCCAAUUGCAAUGACAGGAGUGAUUCGAGAUCUUUGUUAACUUAAACAUUGGAACAAUGAUGUAGUACAAGAAAUGCCCAUGAGGCUAUGAGGAAUUUGGUUGUAGGGGUAUGAAAUUGAAAUGGGAUGGUAAUUUUAUCAAUUAUUGUGUUUGGAAAGACAAAAGAGGCCUUUUUACCCUCUGGUCCAAUUGUUGAAAACGUAUCAAUCUUUUUUUGGGUCGCUGCAAUAAGUCCUAAUGUACUAAAUUUUGAGUUAGAGCACCCUUAGGCCAUUAGAACACCUUCUUGAUUUAUUGCAAAGCAGGAAUUUGUCCCUAACCUACAGCCAAAAAAGUAACUUCAACGGAUGUUUACAAAAAAAGGAGGGGAGGAGGGGGGGGGGGUUUGCUGUAAGAGAAUAAUAGAAAGAUUUUAAUAAUUUGCAAUUUUUUUUAUACACAUGCAGUAACUUUGUUUAUUGUAAUUUAAAUUGUUACAAAGGUAAAUUUAUUGAUACUGCUAGAACCUAAAUAUUCAUUCAUGUUGGAAACUAAUUAAUAUUCAUUCAUGAGAAAAUGAAUUAUUGCAUAUCUUGUAUUUAUUAAAGGGAUAAUUUCAGAAACCUCCCUUGAGGUUUCUUGCUAUUUCACUUAGUUCCCUUGGUGUUUUAAAAAUUACACUUACCUCCUUUGAUUUGACACUUUGGUAACCAAACUUUAAAAUAGAGUAAAAAGUUUAAUGAAUACUCUAAAAUGCCCUUAUCUUGCAAAGUUCAAUUUGUUCUUCUAAACAAAAAGAGUAUCAAGUUUUCAUGCUAAUAUUUGUUAUUUAAUAAUCAACUAUAACAAUAAAUCUUUUGCUAUAAUAGGGUAUAUUUCAUAGUGUUUUACUGGGAAUAUAAAUUCUUUUUAAGAUAGAGAGUGCUUUUUUGUUUCUUUUAAAGUUUAUGGACUAUUUUUUAAAUGAAAAUUUAUGGACCAGUUUAAUGGUGGAACUAUCAUAAUUUGGUAGUGAUUUUGGGCCAUUUGUUUUUAAUCAUUGUUGACUUACCCUUGAUUUUGCUACCAAAAAAAUUGGAGAAUGUUAAAAGUUAUCAAAAAAAUAUUACUAGUUUAACAUAAUUUGAAUAGAUAUUAGGGACAACAUUGAUAAUUCUUCUAUACUUCUAAUGAAAUAUAAGAGAAAUGAAUAAGAGGGAAAAUGGUAAAAAAAAAAAAAAAUCCUCAGUAUUAAGGUUAGUAUUGCAUAAACAUGGCAACAAGAGAGUUUUAUUAAAAAUAUUAAGGUUAGUAUUGUCAUUUUAAAUGGACAAGGGAGGUACAUGUAAUUUUUGAAACCUUAGAGGAGCCAAGUGAAAUUAUUAGAAACCUCAGGGGAGGUUUCUAAAAUUAUCCCUUAAUUAAAUACUAAUGCAUACUUCAAGGUUUAUCAUCAUUGUAAAAAUCUAGUUACUAUUUCAAUAGAAAAUCUAUUCAUGUUUUGGAAUUUGCUACACUGUUUUGACGAGUAUUCUUACAUUAUAGUAAAAGCAUGUGUAUUAGUUCUAAAUAAUUUGUAUGAUAGUUGAACACUUAGAAUAAAUUUAUUAUCUAAAAGUGAUAUUAAUGAAUACAUAAGAAUACCAUUAAUAUUUUUUCUUAAAUUAUUCAUAGUUGCACAACUUCACAAUUAACCAAAAAAAAAAUUACCGUGCUAAGGCACAGGCUAAUAUACUAUUAAAUAUUAUGGUUUUUAUAAAACUUUAAAUUAAUCUUUUAUACAUUGUUAGUGUACCAAUUUUUUUACACUAACAUGUAUAGAUACAUGCCACAUGUUCAAAAAGUGAAUUUUAAAUUUGUACAGAAAAAAUGCAAUAUAUAUUUAAAUCCACUAGCGUGAAUUCUUACUUUGACAAUGUAUAAAAAAAAAAUCCAAAAUCUUUGCCAUUUGGUGGAGUUGGAAAAGAAAACAUUUUGAUGACGUCUAAAAUUUGCCCCCAUUAGGUACUUGUGUUGAACUAAAGAAAGAACAAGGAGAGGGUACUAUCGUUGAACUAAAGAAAGAACAAGGAGAGGGCGGUACUAUCGUUGAACUAAAGAAAGAACAACUAUUGAAGACCAAAAGUACAAUGUUCAAGUGCUCUGAGAUAAUUGAAAUUACCAACACCUUUCGGACAGUUAUUGGAAGGGGAGGUUCUGGAAUAGUUUAUCUUGGAUGCUUGGAAGAUGGCAGCAAUGUUGCCGUAAAAAUGUUGUCUUCUUCAUCAGCAACCCGUGGACAAAAGCAGUUUCAAUCAGAGGUAAUCAAGACAAUUUGGCACUAUCUACCCAUUUUACCUAUAGGGAUAAUUUCAGGAGCCUCUACCAGGUUUCAAACAAUUUCAUUGCUAUCCCUCAAGAUUUCAAAAAUAUCACCAACCUCGCUUGAAACCUAUUUCCUUGUAAAAAUUUACCAAAUUAAAAAAAAGCAACAAAAAAAAUGAUUUUAGGUGUGAGAAGAUCAUUUGAUUUCAAAGUGCUCCUCACCUAUAAUAAUAGUUAAUUUAAUUAUUCAAUCUAACUUAUUGUUUCAUUUAUAAGGCCGUUACACAUGAUUAACGAAAAAAUUUCAUCAUUUGCAACCAAAAGUAACAAAUUUUGUAUCAAAAUUUUUGACUUACCUUAAGAUUCUUGUUAUCAUCAUGGUAUUAAGAAGAGACAAUGGAAAACCAAAUUCUCCUCACAUCCAAUUUUUUAUGAUCUUUAAGAACAUAAAAAAAGCUAGUCUAGCAUUUGACCCCUUUUCUAAUGCCAAAUUAAUUUUAAACAUAAUAAAAUUAUGGGUAAUUUUGUUUUUAAAUGGCUUAAUUAUUUUUAAUCAAAUUAUGGUUAAUAGUUUGUAAACGGCUUAAUUCUUUUUCAUGUUUGAAUCCUUUUAUUUAUUAUGCACAUCAAAUAUGAUUCAUUUUAUUUGUCAAGUACAUUAAUUAAAAAAAUGCCCCCCUAUAUUGGUUCUCUUUUUAUAUAGCAAAUUAGUUGUUUUUUUAAUUUCAAAUUAUGGUUAAUUUAAUUAGCAAAUCUUUUAAUUGUUUCUCUCCUCAAAUAUGUGUAAAACAUCUUAAAUUGUAAGGAUAGCAGAGUCAUUUCACUAUUAAUGAUAUAAGCAUUGGGUCUCAAAUUGCUGAUAUGAGAGGUAAGUGAUAUUUUUAAAACCUCAAAAGAGGGCAAUGAAAUUGUCAGAAUCCUCAAGGAAGGUUUUUCAAAUUAUCCCUUACCUAUAUCGAAUGGUAAAUAAUCAUCGGUUGUGAAAUAGGUAUUCUAGAAGUUUUGUGAAAAUUUUUCUAAGAUUCCCAAAUUAAAUACAUGUUUUAAUUAUAUUUUUAUUUUCACAUGUAUCACAUUUAAAAAGUAUUAUAGAAAUGUAGUUUUCAAAAAAUACGUUUAGAAAAAGUAAUCUAAAAGAUAUGUCCACAAUUAUACUGGUUUUGCAAACAUUUUCUAUGAGGCAAAAUUAUUAGUACAUAAUUAGAUUUUGGAUUUUUGGAAAUUUCUCGUGCUUGUGAUUUAUAUUCCUUAGGUUAGCCCGUUCAGAGGAAGAUUGUACUAGAGGACAUAUAAAUCAAAGUCAGAAUUGCUACUACUCAUUUUUCUAACGGACUUUGUUAUAUCAUCGACGAAGGUGGAAAUCUUGAUCAAGAUUCAUCACACAAACUUGGUAUCAUUUGUCGGAUAUUGCGCUGAAGGAAGAGCUAUGGCUCUAAUCUGUGAGUAUAUGGCGAACGGAAAUUUAAGACAACAUUUAUCAGGUAUUUUAACCUCUAUGUACAUGCUUCCUACUUUUUUUUUUUUUAUAAAAUAUAACUUUUUAUUCCAUGAAAUCUAAAAGAAUGCAAAAAAAUACAACAAACAUGUCACAAAUACGGUUAAUCUAAAAAAUCAUUAAAUUUAAUAAAUUUUUAGAAAAUAACAAAGAUUACAUUGUGAAACUCCAACCGAUCAAAUAAAUCAUGAGCAGCCCAAUGAAGCUCUAUGCAAGUUAAGACCAUCAAAACUGCUGUUUAACUGGUUCAAAUUCAAAGUCGAUGUUGAGAUCAGAUGAAAUGAAGGAAUCCCAUAUUUGACAUAUAGAGACUUGAAAAGUGCCAAUAUACUAUUGAACCAAAAAUUGCAGGCUAAGCUUGCUGAUUUUGGCUUAUCUCGAAUUUUUGCAAGUGAAAGUGACACUCAUGUAACAACAGCAGUGGCUGGAACAGCUGGUUACCUAGAUCCAGAGUAUGUAUUCAAUAUGAAGUUAAAUUUUUCUAUUUUCCUAAGCUGCCAUUCUAUAAAGGUUUCUCAAAUCAUUGCAAUAAUCCUUUUCCUAAUUGAUAUAUACAGCGUUAAGUAUACAACUGGAAUAGUUGUUUACAACUUAGGAUGAAAAUAUUUUGAGCAUGUGGACACAAUGUACGAGUCUUCUAUAAAUUAUGCUUGGUGAACUUUGCUACAAACUAAAUAUUCAUUUACAAGAAAAAGUUCUAAUUCUACUUCUUUUGUAUUUAAUUAAAGACAAAGAUGCAGUUUUCGAUUUCAAUGCCAAAGAAUAUUUGUUGCAUAUUUAUUGCAGCAUUUAAUGAGCCUUACCACAUUAUAAUAUAUCUAUGCAUAAAAGUUUCAAAAAAAUAAGUACGAUAGUUGAACAUUUAGAAUUUAAGAAAUUUUUUAAACAAUAUGAAAAAAGAUGUAAGCAUAUUAUAAUAUUUUUUAGAGGCUCAUAAAUUGUGUUUUCCAUUCUCAAAAUAUUUUCGUCCUAAGUUGUAAAAAAAUAUUCAGUAAAACUAUAUAUUCUUAUUCAAGUUUAUAAUCUAGAUUUUAUGAUGAAUAUUAGUUUGUGUUUGACUGUUCGCCCCUUCUCUAAACCAAAAUCCGGGUUCCAUCCCUACCAAACUGUCUAAGAAUUUUUUUUUUUCAAGAUUUUGUAUCCUUCAAAGUAAAACUAUAUAUUAUGUGCAUUGGUGUCCUUUAAUGACAUCUAAAUUGGCUUUCAGAUAUAACUACACCUUCAAGUUCAAUGAGAAAAGUGAUGUUUACAGCCUCGGCAUCGUUUUAUUGGAACUGAUCACUGGAAAACCAGCCAUCAUAAAGGGCACCGAUGAUGUCAAUAUUCACAUUGUUGAAUGGGUGAACAAAAGGGUAGAAAGGGGAGACAUUCAUGAAAUUAUGGAUCCAAAACUGAAAGGAAAGUUCAACAUAAACUCGGCCUGGAAGUUUUUGGAGGCCGCCAUGACGUGUACAAUGGCAAUGGCUAGUCAGAGGAUGAGUGGCAUGGAGUUACUUGUUGAACUAAAGCAGUGUUUGGCAAUAGAGCUAUCUGAAGAGAUAGCAUCAAGGGCUGAAGAUUUUCCGCAGGAUGAUGGCCUUGAGAUAGACACCGCUCCAAGUGCAAGAUAGGUCAUUCAUGAUCAUUGCUUCUCUACCUCUUUCUGCUAUGAGAUUGGUGGUGCAGCCCAGUUGCUAUGUACGUCUGAGAGAAGAGAUUGCAUUUACAUUUCAUUUGUGUUAAAUUUCUUAUAUUCUCUACCUCUUUCUGUUUUGUAUUUUAUAUUUGAUAAAUUUCAUGCCAUUAGAAGAAUAUGUUAACAUUAUAAUCUAAAUAAUUUUGAUAGUCCCUGAUAGGGUAAAAGACAAUUUCCUAAUUAAUUCACUCGAUUAUGCAUCAAGUGAAUGUAAAAGUCACUCACCCUCCUUACAUAGUAGUCCUUUGAUCAGCUUCAUUGAUUGGGAAAAACUGGAAUUUUGUAACCCACUCACAAUAUCUUCCAAGGCUUUAGUUGCUAUCAAUCUCAAAAGAGAGUUUAAACACCCUGCAAAUUCUUAAUGUUUUCUUUCGACUGCUUAUAAGUUUUAGGAAUUAAUUGAAUCUAAUUAGUUUGAGUUAUUUCUUCCUAAACUUUUUUUUGUUGUCUACAUUUAUAUCCUUAUUAUCAUCACUUAAUUUCUCGUCCUUUUUUAAUGCUUAUGCAUAAUGAUUAGCUAAUCAAUUGUUAAAUUACUUUUGUUACCAGUUUUCGAUAAGAUGAUUGUUUAGCUGUUUAAAUGAAAAUUAGCCACUUCUUUAGUCAUGCAUACUAAUGCAGUGUUACUUGCUAAAAUGUGAAUCUAAGAGGAAUUAACACUAGACGUUCCUUUUUCCCCCUCAAACAUGAAACUUGGCCUAAAGCUUACUAGAUCUAAAACCUAUGAACUGAAUAUAUUGAAGCAGAAAAAUAUGGGAUGUCACACUUGAUAAACAUUUUUCAGACAUCAAACAAGAGCACAAAAAUUCACCAAUCUAGGAAACCUAGGCUCUAUGUUUGGGCAUACUUCUUUGUGGUAGAAACUCUAUUACUCAUUGAGGACUCUACCUUAAGAGAAAAAAAAAAAAGGACAAAAAACAUCAGCAGCCACUAAACUAUUCGUCAGAUCAUGUUUUAGCCAUCAAAUUAUUUUUCGUCAGAAAUUGGCCACUAAAUAAUUUAAUCAAUAAACCCGUGACCAUUUGAUCUAUAAUUGCUUUUAAUCUGUAAAAUUAGCAGUACACGUGGCAAAAUGCGAGGGCAAUUUUAUCCAACAACUAUGUGACCCUAUUCUCCCCUUAAUUUACUCAAUUGGGAGCCCUAAAUCUUCAAUCACAAAUCGAAGAAGCCGAAAAAGAAGACGAAGAAUGCUAGGCACUCUCCUAAAGCCAUAACAAGAGGAGAUGUUAUAACAAGAGGAUUUAGUCUUGGAAUGUAAAUUGCAGGAUGAGGGAUGUUGCUUUUGGGAAUGGUAUGAUCCAACAACAUAUGAAAGAUCAACUCAAUGAUCGUGGGAACCAUUGGAAAGACAACCAAAAUUUAGAAGCCAGGAAUCAAGCUCCGGACUUCAUACAUGAAAUUGGUUGGCUCCUCCUAGAAGUAAGUUGAAGUUUAGAUUGGGUCUACAAGAUUCCAACUUGGAUACAUUUCCCUUCCAGCGAUUUAGAUGGCCUAUAGAGUUCUCAGUCGAACAUGACUGGUGUACAGUGGUCAAGAUGCUUUUGAAUGUUCUGGUCAACAAACUCAUGGGUGAAGAAAAACGCUCUUCAAUUGAAAAUGCAUUGCUGGAAAAUGGGUUGCUCCAUAGAGCUGUUCGGCAAAAUUGUAGGUCCAUGGUUGAAGUCCUCCUAAGAUACCAUCCAGAUGCAGACUGGAAAAAUUAAGUCGAAUCUGCUAUGUAUUUAGACCGAUGUCAGGGUUGACUCCUCUAUACAUAGCAGCCGGAUGCGAUGGAGUUGAGCAAGUGCUGGAUACAUUAACUGAUGAUCUUGGACUGGUACGGCCCUUCUUAAUAUGUAUAUUGUUAUUAGUGGAACAUCACUUUUGGAAAUGGAAAAAUACUGCUCAGAUCCCCCAGUGGAAAAAUACGACCCUUGCUAAUAUCUUUGAUUUGUGUUUGAAGAUUUGAGACUCCUAAUUGAGUCCCUAUUUUUCCUCCACAUAAUAUUCCAUUCGGUGAUUGUUUGAGGAAAGAAAUUCAGGGGAGAAUAGGAUCGCGUAGUUGCUAGACAAAAUUGCCCCUGCGUUUGGUCACGUGUACUGCUAAUUUCACAGAUUAAAAAUAAUUAUUGAUCAAAUGGUCACGGGUUUACUGAUUAAGUUAUUUAGUGAUCAAUUAUUGACGAAAAAUAGUUUGAUAGCCAAAACAUGAUCUGACGAAUAGUUUAGUGGCUGCUGAGGUUUUUUGCCAAAAAAAAAAGGUUAAAUGUCACCCAAGUUGUAGAAAUGUUUAAUAAAUGCCUUUUUUCUUUCGAAGAAAAGUCUAAUGCAUUCUUAGAAGAAAAAACUGAUGAUAUUUUACUUAAGUCCAAUGUCUCUUGAGUGUUAUAUUGUUGUUGGAUAGGUUUUUAUUUGCAAUUUUUUUAUUGCAUCACAAAUAGUUUUUCAAUCACAUUUUUAUCUUAUUAAUCACAUUUAUAUUUCACAUAUAUCACAUUGAUAGUGAGACAAUUGUGUAUGUUAUUUGAUGGUAUUUGGUCUCAAUUUUGGCCACUUAUUAUGCAAAGUAAUAGGUUUCUGCUCAUAAUUGGUAUUUGUGUCAGUUGCAGGCGAUUGGUGUCAAAAAUGGUGAAAAGAGGCCAAAUUCCAGAAGACUAUUCAUUCUUGAGUGUGCCCACGCUAGAGACCGCAGAAUUACGUCCAAAAGACGGACCGCGAGACUUAUCCCUAGAAGCUGCAACUAUUCUUGGGAGACGUGUUUUGAAAUUGCGUGGGAUUAGGAAACAUCUUCAGAGAAUACCUUUGGCAACAACUCAAGGAGAAAAAUAAGGAAGCUAUCAUUUAUAGAAACAAACUCUCGAAACUAUCCUUUAUAGAAACAAACUCUCGAUUGGUAAAGUGUGGCGGGGAGACUUUAAAUAGGAUAGCAAUAGACUAGGAGUUUUUAUCUUUGAUCUUGGAUCUUUUUCCCUUUUUCCCUCUAAACAGGAGUUAGAGACUCUUUAGCCGCUGUAUUCUUUUUCAUCAACAAAAGUACAUUAAAGCCUGGGAUUGCAUCAUCGUUAUGAGGCAAGGCUAGGUUCCUUUACUUAGUUGAGAAAUAGUCAAGGUCUGGUGCACGGACAAUUGUGAGAUCUUUUUAAUUGUUCUGCGUGAUUUUAAAUUCUGCAUUCGUGAGUAUUUAAUUAUUUCUUGUUUUAAUAGCCUAUUGUUGUUUGGAUCUAUUGGAUUAUGUGGUCAGUUAUUCAAUUGUUUGAAUAGUACACUGCCAAUUAGGACAGGGGUGCAUAUCACUUGAUUGUCUUAAAAUUAGUGGCAAACGGCACAAUUUCAUUGCCUCGCAAGCAGUCUAAUCUGUGUCGUAGGAAUAGUUAAUCUAGUUUAAAUGAACUCGCAUGUGUGUUUGUUAAAUAGAAUUGGGUCUCUCUAAUUCCUAAAACUGUGAAUAGAUUAAAUCUUUCGAGUGUCUCUGGCGUUAUCUAUUUUUCAAGGGGGUAGUUUAAGAGUGUCUCUGAACCAUCAUAUAAUUAAGGAGAGAUUGGUAGUUUGGCGGUUGCUGAAUUGCUAGAACUAAUUUAUUUACGAACGUGUGAACUAUUCCAGGGAUCUGUGAUUAAUUGCAUGAGCCGGUGCCGAAAUUAUCUCCUUGACUAAGUUGUCUCAAUUAAUUGUUUAUUAUAUUCUUUAACUACUGCACUUUCUUGCGAUUGGAAAUUCAGUACUCUUACAUCUUUAAUUUGUUCUUCUUGUCUUCCUUUCUAAAAUUUUUCAAAUUCUCUGUGUAUGAUAAAUCUACUAGUUCCCUGAGGAGACGACCCUACUCACCACUAUACUCGUUCAGUUUUGGGAGUAGGUAUUGAUAUAAAUUUUAUUUUUGAUAGUUUGACAGCCACCAAAUUUUGGCGCCGUUGUCGGGGAACUGGUGCCUGAUUAAUUUGUUUCUUUUUUAAUUCAUCUUAUUUUCAUUUCUAUUUUUUCUCUUUGUUUUAACUAUUUAUGGCUGCUAAUUUUCUGUAUUUUGGUGAUGGACUGGAUUUUAUUUCUAGAAGGGGUUAUGAGACUCAUACUUUUUCUAAUGAUCAAUUGACUGUUGCAAAUUAUGAAAGUUAUUUUGUCUCAGAUCAUUCAACCGACAUAUACCCCACAUUUUAAGAUAGCCUGAGUACUCCAAUCGACACUUUUGGAGAUUUUCUAUCUCAAUAUCAAAUGUGGUAUGACCCUUAUUCAAACGGGUAUGAUCACGGAUGAUGGAACAACUCCAACUUUAAUUAUACACCAGAGCCAAUCGAUUUUCAAUAUCAAUAUCAACAGCGAUAGCCAUCAUCCAUGUCAGGUAUGUCUCUUGAAGAAAUGGUUGAAUUAAUAGCUACUAACAAAUAUCAAUUUCAACAGGAGACACAAAGGAUGAUUAAAGAGAUGGAAUAUGGAAGACGUGAAUUGACAUCUACAAUGAGUAAAUUGAUUUCCCCAAUUUAUGAAGAAUUGCUCUCAUAGACCAUCAAUGACCUUAAAGAAUAUGAGAGUACAAUUUUCCUGACAAAUGACAUGAAACUGCAUGAGUGUCAAGAAAAAGAAUCUAAAGAUGCAGUUGAAAAGGGAAUUGAAGUACAAGAAAUGGAACCCCAAUAUCAAAUUGUUCAAAUAAAUGAAUCCAGUAAACAAUCUCCAAAUGCGGUGACAUAUCCCCCAUUCUUUAAUCAAUAUUCUCCUGACUCUUAUUCUUUAAUUUCUGAUAGGUUGUAAUUUUAUCAUUUAUUUUAUUAUUAAUUUUUCCUAUUACCUGACCUGAUGUUGAUUAAUUAUUAGAUUCUACUCACUUUUCGUAAUUUACAUUUAUUUCAGGGAGUUGAACAAAAAUAUCACAAUCAAGGCCAAUUUGACAGUCAUCAGGAAAGAAUUCAAAUGGAAGGUCUUCAGGGGUAUUUUUGGAACAAGGAGAUACAAGUCCUUUUUGGUAAUUUGCAGAAGACAACAUUCAAAAAGAAGCACAAAAGGCUAGAGUCGUUUCUCUCCUGGUGGGCCGCCGCACAUGAGAGCCAAGCAUUAGAAUAGAUUAGUAAUUUAAUAGGUACGGGGAGUAGCAGAAGACUUCUCUUGGGCUUUGGACAAUUUCGUCCUUUAGUGGUUUUGAAUCCACGUAUGUUACACUUAGGGUAGAAAUAAGGGGUCAUUAUUUUUUUUUGACAGAGUAGUCUUUUCUUCUAUUAUUCGGUUUUCCACCGUUUCUUCUUCCUGACUGGGAGAAUGUACGUCGCAACUAUUUAUGUAGUCUUGCAUGGGAUUUUUUCAUCAAUAAUGAGCGAAACCCCUUUUUCUAAUCAAGGAGCAACGGAUGCUUUGACUCGCCUAAAAUUGUGAGAUCGAUUUAAUUUUAUUUUUUCUUUUAUUUAUUGGUAUUUGCAUAUUUUCUGAUUACAGUGCUUAUGAUUGUUUAAUUAAUUGACUGUCUUGGAUCCGAAUAAUUAAUUAAUUUGAUAAUCUAUUGUCAAUUGGGACGUUAAAUCCGUAAUUGUUUAAUUGUCUCAAAAUAGUGAUAACUGGCAUGAUUGGAUUUAUGUCAGGGAAAUACGCGAGCUAACCUAAAAUAACCCUGGUAGUGUGUUAUUUGGUUAGAAUAGGGCUUCUCUAAUACGUAAGGCAAUUGGGGAAUUAAAUCUUACGGGUGUACCUAAGAUUAUUUCUCAAUUAGAGUAGUGAUUAACAGGCGUACCUUAAUCACCAGCACAGUAAGGAGGGGUUGACUGUCAUCGCUUGUUUGGCAGUUAUAACCUAUUUAUUAGUAAAUAAUUGAAAUUGCCUUUGUUUCAAUGAUCAAUUAGGUGAACCAUUGCUGAAAUUAUUCCUUGGCUAGAUCCUUAAUUAUCACUCAUUUGAUUUUAGUAAAUUGUUAUUUAAUUUCUAGUUGGCUAUUUUAUUUUUAUUAUUUUACUUUUAGUUGAAUUCCUUAAAUUGUCACCCCUGACAUAAAAAACCCCCAUUGUCACUGUGAAUUUGAAAAGAAACAAUUACUCUCAGUCCCUGUGGAUUCGACCCUAUUCACCGCUAUCUACAGAAAUUACUUUUAGUUUGAGUAGAUUUUAUUAUUGCACAGGCUGACAACCUGUCAAUUCCUGUUAGUGAGAUUGACUUUAUUAUAGCAGAAGAUUUUGAAUUUCAUGACAGGAAUAAAUUAAGAGUCACGAUAACAAAAUAUCUCGAACCAAUAAGUGCUCGUUAUGGAGGAGUGAGUGAAGAAUUAAAGUCAUCACUUGUUUGUUUGGUACCAUCUACAAAUUCAUGGAAGGCCAUACCUCGUGUACUCAAUGAUUACUCUAUUUACGAGAGUUAUCAGAACUAUACAAAGGAUGAAGCAUUGAAAUGAGCCACAAGAUUUUAUUCGCUGUGAAUAAACAGGGCAAUGUCUAGCCAAAGACGUUAAAGAGAGGCGCUGCUUGGGAGGUAACCCAAGGACUAAACUCUUUGUUAUUGUUAUAUUUCAUUAUUAUUACUAUUAUUAUUAUUAUUAUUAUUAUUAUUAUGUCUCAUUCCCAGUGCUUUAUUGGUGUUAGGCAGAAGACUGUGGCUUCCUAGGUGUGCCCACGCUUUGCAGGGUUGCUCCAGAAAGCUGUCGACUAACUGGUGAACAGAAGAUUUUAGCUUCCAAGGCGUGCCCACACUUCAUAGAAAAUUUCAUGGGUGCUGUUAAAGAAUGGGCAGCCGACUUACGCUUCUUAAGUGUGGUAAUGCCUCUCAACCAAGUACCGCCGCCCAGGCCGCCGCUGUUCGCCAUUGCUGCCUUACAUUCUCUCGACGUCCAUCCCCUCUGCAUCCUAUGUACUUGGGGAUUUUUAGUUCCGCGCCUUGGCGGAUGUCCUUCGUGGGUUGGAUGAAUAAGUUAAUCAUUUGGAUGACCGUCUCACAGCCUUGCAAUUUCAUUCUUCUAUUCAGACACAAAAUCUGGCAGCCUUCUUUGCCCAUGUUGGAUUUCAGCCGUCUCAUUCUCUUCCCCUAUAGUGCUUUCGCGGCGUCCUUUCAGCAUUCUGGGAAGUUCUAGCUCCUUUCUACUUGGUUUCUAUUUUUCUUUGCUACAUUGAGGACAGUGUAGGAUUCAUAUGUGGGGGGGAGUAGUUGAACAUUGCUAGAAUUUGAUGCUAUGAUGAUCAUUGCAAUUACUCUACAAGCAUGAGCAGUGAUAUUAUGUGGUUAAAUGUCUUGUCUUCUUAAUAAUGGAAUUGAAUGAUAAAAUUUGCAAGAUUUGGCUAUUAAUAUCCUAUUGUGAGCUGUCGAGCCAAUGAGCGUUGCAUUGAUAACUGCUCUAUUUUCUUUCAUUGAAUAAUAUCACAUAUGAUUUGAUUGUUCUAGAACUUGCUUUGUUAUGCAUAUCAAGAUCACAUUCCUGAAUUUGAUGCAUUAGAAUGAUAAGGGCACUUAGGCUAACCAUUUUUGCUUUCUAAUGACCAACCCUCGUCAGAUCUCCCCUAGUUGACCAUGGUUAAGUCUAGACCUUUUCUUUGUUUAAUAACUCAUUUUGUCACUCCUAAACCCCUUGUGUUCGAACCCUCUUUGUUUCUACCCCGUGUCAAAGGAAUGCCUUGAUUUUAGUGCAUGAUGAUUUCAAAUUAGGUUGAAAGGAGAUGAUUGAAGUUAGCGAGUGUGUCUAUAUCCCCAUGUAGUUGGGCGUAUUUGAAACAAAAAAAAAAGAAAGAGAAAAAAAUGAGCACACCAAGAAAAAAAAAGGGAAAAAAAGAAAACAAAAGAGAAAACAAAAGAAAGAAGAAAAAAAGAGGUAUGAAGUGCUAAUUGUCAAUAUGUGAUCUGUUGAGAUGAUUGGGUGAAUCCCUUGGUUGUGCUGACACUUGCUAAUUUUUGAAAAAAUUUAUGGAAAUGCUUUGGAAAGAUCAAUGGAAUGAAGAAGGAAAUUGGCAUUCAUGUAGUGGGUCAAUGGUAUUGCCUUUGACAUAAUGAGUUUAAAUUACCUGUUUGAUCCAACCCGUGCCUGAACCCCGUUACAACCCGCAUCAAGACCCUUUGAUUUUUGCAUUAAAUUUGGUUACAGUGGUGGCGAUGAGAUAUAUUAGCAAGCAUAUGAUAACAUCAUUUUAUUGUACGGUGAGAGUGACCCUUUGUGUUUCAUGUCAGUGUGGUGAGUAGUCAUAUACCAUUCUAUAAGAGAGGGUUAAGUCUUGCAAUUUCUGAAUUUGAUGACAUUGUUAGGAGGAUAGGACACUUGUGCUCGCAUGUUGGACUGCUACAUGUGUGUAGCUGUAAUUGCAUCUCUGAGUUUUGAAAUGUUUGAGGACAAACAUUGUCUUGGUGUGGGGGGAUUUGAUAGUGAGACAAUUGUGCAUGUUAUUUGAUGGUAUUUGAUCUCAAUUUUGGCCACUUAUUAUGCAAAGUAAUGGGUUUCUACUCAUAAUUGGUAUUUGUGUCAAUUGCAGGCAAUUGGUGUCAAAAGUGAUGAUAAAAGGCCAAAUUCCAGAAGACUAUUCAUUCUUGAGCGUGCCCAUUCCAGAGACCGCAGAAUUACGUCCAAAAGACGGACCACGAGACUUAUCCCCGGAAGCUGCCGUUAUUCUUGGGACACGUAUUUUGAAGCUGCGUGGGAUUAGGAAACAUCUUCAGAGAAUACCUUUGGCAACAACUCAAGGAGGAAAAUAAGGAAGCUAUCAUUUAUAGAAACAAACUCUCGAAGCUAUCCUUUAUAGAAACAAACUCUCGAUUGGUAAAGGGUGGUGGUGAGACUUUAAAUAGGACAGCAAUAGACUAGGAGUUUUUAUCUUUGAUCUUGGAUCUUUUUCCCUUUUUCCCUCUAAACAGGAGUUAGAGACUCUUUAGCCGCUGUAUUCUUUUUCAUCAACAAAAGUACAUUAAGGCCUGGGAUUGCAUCAUCGUUAUAAGGCAAGGCUAGGUUCCUUUCCUUAGUUGAGAAAUAAUCAAGGUCCGGUGCACGGAUAAUUGUGAGAUCUUUUUAAUUGUUCUGCGUGAUUUUAAAUUCUGCAUUCGUGAGUAUUUAAUUAUUCCUUGUUUUAAUAGCCUAUUGUUGUUUGGAUCUAUUGGAUUAAUGUGGUAAGUUAUUCAAUUGUCUGAAUAGUAUAUUGUCAAUUAGGCCAGGGGUGCGUAUCACUUGAUUAUCUUAAAAUUAGUGGCAAACGGCACAAUUUCAUUGCCUCGCAAGCAGUCUAAUCUGUGUCGUAGGAAUAGUUAAUCCAGUUUAAAUGAACCUGCAUGUGUGUUUGUUAACUAGAAUUGGGUCUCUCUAAUUCCUAAAACUGUGAAUAGAUUAAAUCUUUCCAGCGUUUCUGGCGUUAUCUAUUUUACAAGGGAGUAGUUUAAGAGCGUCUCUAAACCACCAUAUAAUUAAGGAGAGAUUGGUAGUUUUGCGGUUGCUGAAUUGCUAGAACCAAUUUAUAUACGAACGUGUAAACUAUUCCAGGGAUCUGUGAUCAAUUGCAUGAGUCGGUGCCGAAAUUAUCUCCUUGACUAGGAUGUCUCAAUUAAUUGUUUAUUAUAUUCUUUAGCUACUGCACUUUCUUGCGAUUGGAAAUUCAGUACUCUUACAUCUUUAAUUUGUCUUCUUGUCGUCCUUUCUAAAAUUCCCCAAAUUCUCUGUGUGUGAUAAAUCUACCAGUUUCCUGAGGAGACGACCCUACUCACCACUAUACUCGUUCAGUUUUGGGAGUAGAUCUUGAUAUAAAUUUUAUUUUUGGUAAUUUGACAGCCACCACACAUCAUCAAAAAGACUAUAAUAUCAUUCCUACAUUUUCUUUACAGAUAAUCUCAUAUCCUAACAAACUAGAUGUUAAAUUUCAAAGCCGAAUGUUGAUAUCUGUCCUGAUAAGAAUAUAUUUUUGAUAGGGAGAUAAUUGUCCGUUUUAAUCGCUGUUAUUUGGUCCUAAUUUUGGUCACUUAAUGUGUAAAACACUGGAUUUCUGCCCAUAUGUGGUGUUUGUGUUGUUUGCAGGAGAGUGGUGUUAAAAGUGACAAAAGAGGGGCAAAUUCCAGAAGACCAAGCCUUCUCUGGCGUGCCCACGCCAGACAAUGCAGAGCUGCGUGAAAAAGACGGAAUACGCGACCCUACUCCCUGGAGGCUGCCGCAAUUGUAGUUACGUGGGAUUAGGAAGCUUUUCCAAAGAAAACUUUUGGAGACAACUCAAGGAGAGAAAUAAGGAAACAAUCCUCUGGAGAAACAAAUUCCAAUUCAACAAGCAAAGAAACGUGGGGUAACACUAUAAAUAGGAGGUCUGUAAUAGAUUAGGUAAUAUCUUGGUCUUGGACGUUUCUCUUGGUUUAUCUUCUUUCUUUUGGAACGCACGUUGGCGGCCGAAUCUUUUACUCCUUCUUCAAUUAACAAAACUCCAUGAAAACUUUGAAUUGCUUUGUUGUCAUGACUAUGCGGCAAGGCAAGAUCGUUAUCUAGUUGAUGAGUAAUCAAGGGCCGGAACAUAAACAAUUGUGAGAUCGUUUUUAUUAUUCUAAGUUCUACGUUUGUGAGUAUUUAAUUAUUCUUUGGUUGAAUUGCUUGUUAUUGUUUAGAUAUAUUGAAUUAAUGUGGCCAAUUGUUCAGUUGUCUAAACAAUAUACCGCUAAUUAGGACAGGGGUGCGUAUCACUUGAAUGUCUUAAUUUAGUGGCGAACGAUACCAAUUUCAUUGCCUCGCAAGCAGUCUAAUCUAGUUUAAAUGAACCCGCAUGUGUAUUUGUUAACUAGAAUUGUGUCUCUCAAAUUCCUAAAGCUGUAAUUAAAUUAAAUCCUUCGAGCGUCUCUGGGGUUGUCUAUUUUACAAAAGGGUAAUUUACGAGCGUCUCUGAACUACUAUAAAAUUAAGGAGAGAUUGGGAGUUUGGUGGUUGCUAAAUUGCUAGAACCAAUUUAUUUGCGAACGCAUGAAUUAAUUUAGGUAUCUAUGAUCAAUUGUGUGAACUGGUGCCGAGAUUAUCUCCUUGACUAGGGGCCUGUUUGGAAGUGAGUUUUUUGGCCAAGUUUUUUAGCUACUAGUUUUUUAACAACUUUAGCUAUAGGAACCCAAAAAAAUUUAUCAAAUUUUUUAACCUACACACUUCAAAAUAUUUAAUACACAAAAAACUACUAUCUUUUCUUCUUCUUUCUCCCCCACCCCAUCCACCAUACCUUCAUCGCCGGCCACCAACUCCGCCGCCGUUUCCGGUGCCGGCCACCUAUUCCGCCGUCGGCGUUCCUUUUUUUUUUUCCUUUCUUUCUCCCUCCCUCUCUCCUUCCUUGAAAACUUCCCCUUCUUUUAAAAACCCUGUUCAAUAACCACUGCUGAUCAAGAAGCCUUACCAUAACCACUGUUGCCCCUUCCAUCACAUGGCCAGAAGUUAACAAAUGCAAAAUUGGAGCAUGCCAUAUCUUCACAUAGCCAGAUGUUGGUGGGGAUAAGUCAUGGAGUUCAGCAAACUGGUUCUCUCCCAAGAAAUUAGGCAGAGGGGAAGUGGUGGCGGGGCAGAGGGGGAAUGGGCAGCUUGCUCCCACUGGUGGCGAGCAGGGCUGAUUCACUGAGCCUAUCCGCCCGCAAUCCGUAUGGGACGUCUUCCUCUGAGCUGGUGAGGGAAGGAGGAAGGGGUAGCGGGGGUGGUGGGCCAGAGGGGGAAGGGGCAGUGGGAGAGGGGGUGGCGGGGUAGCGGGAGAAGGGGCAGAGGGGGAAGGGUGGCGUGCAGAGAGGGGAAGGGGCAGAGAAAAUGGCGGGGAGAGGGGGUGGCGGGCAGCGGGGGAAGGGCACAGGGGAAGGGAAGGGGCAGGGCAGAGGGUGGCGGCAAGCGAGGGAAGGCUGCGGGGAGGGGGGGGGGCAGGGAGGGGAAGGGCAGAGAAGGUGGCGGGGGGGGGGGUGGCGUGGCAGCGGGAGAGGGGCUGGCGGGGGAAGGGGGUGGCGGGAAAUGCAGAGGAGAGGAGAAGGGGAAAGGGAGGAGAGAGGGUGGCGGGAGGGGAAAGGAAGAAGAAGAAGAAGAAGAAGAAAGAGAGAAAGAAAAGAAAAAGAAAAAGAAAGAGAAAGAAAAAAAGAAAGAAAAAAAAAAAAAGGAAAAAAAAAUUCACCUUAUAAAAUUUUUUAUCUUACAAAAAACAUCUACAAAAAAAUUUUUCACCUUACAAAAACUUCUAUAAAAUUUUUUCAAAAACUUCUACAGUGCACUACAGUAAAGUUUUAGACAAACUCCCAAAAAACUCAGGUUCCAAACAGGCCCUAGGUUGUGUCAAUUAAUUGUUUAUUACAUUCCUUAGUUUUUGCCUUUAUUGUGAUUGUUCAUUUAGUAAUUUUAGGUCUUUAAUUUGUUUCAUUUAUCUCUCUUCCAAAAACCCCCUAAUUAUCUGUGUGUGAUAAAUCUACCAGUUCCCUGUGGAGACGACCCUACUCACUACUAUACUCAUUUUUGGGAGUAGGUAUCAUUAUAAAUUUUAUCUUUGGUAGUUUGACAGCCUCCAAUUUUACGUAUUUUUAGUGUGUUUUAUUAGUUAAUUUUGGUUUGAUUAUUUAGUUUUAUAACUAAAAUAACUAAGAUUUUGGUAAAAAUCUACAUUUUAUGUUAAAGUGGCUAACAUUGCAAUUCUAUUGAUUUUUAUGGUAAAAACUUCAUAUUUUGUAGGUUUAAUGAUUCAAUCAUCAAAUGAAGUACAUUGAGAAGAUAUUUGGAUGAUUGAUGAUGGAUUAAAGUGGUGAAAAUAAAAUAUGAAGUGUAAAAGGAAGAGAUGCAAUUUGAGGAAAAAAAAAAUCAAGAAAAGUCAGCUUUGACAACUCAGACAUAUUUUCGUAUUUUGACUAUAUCUGGAGCUACACAUAUUGGAUUAAGGUGAUCUUUAUACCAUUUUGAAACUAAGAGAUAGAUCUAAAUUCGGUAUGAAGACAUGAGAAUCCAAUUCAGCCGAUUACUCAGUCAAAAAGUCGAAAUACCAAAAUUCAACACUGCUGUCGAAAGUUGAAAAUAGGGAUUUGAUCAGGUGUUAGUAUUUUGGUUAUAUCUCAGUCUACAAAGCUCCGAUUUGGAUGAUUUUUAAAGAAUUGGAAAGCUAAUUCAAAGGGCUAAAACUUUUGUGUUUACACAAAAGCUAGUUCGGACUCAAUCAUAGAGAAUAUUGCAGUUGAAGUGAAGCCAAAAACACAGAAUUGAAAACGCGAGUUGACAAAACGCGACUCCAAGCUGCGUUUUGUGUAGGCGCAUUUUGAAGUCGAAAUUCUACAAUUUGCUCAGCCAUUUCUCUUGUGUUCAGACUACUUUCCAGCUAUAAGUUGCAAGGGAAUUCGGUGCACAUGCUUCAGAAGACAAAAGGGCAAGAAAGGUGGCUUAUUUUCAAGUCAAAAACAUUUGUUAUUUACUAUCUUAACAAUUUCAGAUUUGGGAAUCAAGUGUGGAAAGUUUGACCAGUGGAAAAUGAGCUUUGGAGUAGUUUAUAUGCAAAGACAUUUGAGAGGUCUAAGAGGAUAUACGGGAGAGAGCUUGAAGAGUGCAGAAAUGUAGUUCUUCCAUUUCCUUAGUGUAGGAUAGCGUAGUAAGUGUAGUUCAUCAAUUCUUGUAUAAUGGCUAGAUUAAGAUGAAAAUGGAGAUGAAGAAAGAGAAGUUAAAGCUCAAGUGACAUGGGUUAUCUCUUCUCCAACUCUUUAUUUUUUGUAUUGGAUUCUUAAAUAUGGUUAAUAUGCAAGUUCUGGAUUUUGUGUUUAUUAUGUGUCUUUAAAGUUUAUGCCUUGGGUAUGUUGAAUUUUCUAGGAUUGUUAGUGUUUAUUAUUUGUCUAUUUGACUGCUAUAAUUUGAGCAAGUUAUUUAGCACUUUAGCUCUUUAAAUCAUGAUUAAUCUGGUACCAUUAAUUGUGAUUAUCUAAGGUGUUGUUUCUACAAUGAAAAUUGAGAUGUAACACUAGUUCAAGAAGUGCUAAACAUAGGGAGUACACUCACGAAAGUAGAGGCGCACCUAUGUGGUUUUUUGUGAUUCAUUUCAUGUAAUUUCAUUGAAGAAAUGAACUUGUAGCUAAUUUCAUAACCAUGAGAAUAGGUAUGGAUUAGUUAUGAGUAUAAUUGAUUCACUACGAAAGUAGGAUUCAAAUGCAUAAGGAAAUUACACCAUAACUAGCCUAGAUGUAGUACUCAAUGAUCCAAAUAUAGCACUUAUAUGAGUAGUUAGGGAUACCAUAACCUAAGGAGUUUUCAUUUGUUAUUUUGUAUAAUUUCAGUUGGUUUAAUUUGUUAUAAUUCAUUGAUAGUCUAAAUAAUAGAGAAGUUUUAGUAAUACCGGUAAUUGUUCACUCUUUCUUGUGGGAUCGACUCGAUAUAUACUCUAAACUACUAGUUGACCUGUAUACUUGCAGUGAAACGGGUGUAAAUCAAUUUUUUUUUAACUUGUACGUAUGUAAAAUACCCGUCAUGUCCAUGGACAAAACUUUUGCUAUGUUAAACGAACCAAUUAUAAAAUGUUAGAAAAAGUACGCAAUUAUAAAAUGUUGAUAUGUUGUUUCAAUUAUGGUAGGUGGUGUCGUAGAACAAUUUAAUGUAGAUAUACAUCAUUUUCUUUUGUAUAGUUUCACUCAUAUGCAGGUAAUUAUCUCAAUUCUCAAGCUUGAACAGAGAUUUGCAACGUUUGCCGGCUGCUCCAAUUUAUAAACAAAAGUGUAAUUUACAUGCACAUCCUGAGGGAUAGGGAGCAGAUUCUUACCGCUCACCUAAUGGGAUUAUUGGGCUCGAAAGCUUCCAGACCUGUACCUGCCAUUUUGGAUAUAAGAGUAAUUUUAUAAUAAUAAUAUAUUAAAUAAUUAAAAUUAAAAAGCUCGAUUAAGCUCGACGAGCUCUCGAGCAUUGAUUUGAAAUACUCGAACUCGACUCGCUUGUUUUAUCGAGCCGCUCGAACUAGCCGAGUUCGAGUCAAGUUUUUGACCGAGCUGCUCACGAGCUACUUGCAAGCAGCUCGGUUCGAUUACACCCCUAGGAGCACCUCGCGAGUAGCUCGGUUCGAUUACACCCCUAGGUCCAAGGUGCUCCUCGGACGAAAUUCGGCCUAGAUGGAAACGAAGAUCCUAAUUGUUCUCGAUUUCGGCAAAUUGUAGUUUUACACUCUUUCCUGCUUAUAUGCAUUCUUGGGCUAUAAACGCGAUGAGAGAGCCCGCAAAUUUGGUCAAUCCAUGUGCCAAGAAACUGAGAAAACUUUAAUCCUAUCACUUAUUGUAUAUUUCUUUGAAGCGGCAAGAGGAGAGAAGACGCAUAAGUAAAUAUAAUGUGAUUUGUAAAAUACGUUGCAGAUGGUUUCUUCAAUGUAUCUUAUUCCAGCUUAAUAAUUUUUUUCUUUCAAUUCCUCCUCUCAAGCAUAAGGUUUGCACAAUCUCACAUACUGAAGUGGCAUUUCUCUUCACUCAAAAAUGAUUUUCCAACUUAAUAAUUUUGUUUUUUGUUUUUUUCAAUUCCUCCCCUCAAGCGUAAGGUUUGCACAAUCUCACAUGCUUAAGUGGCAUUUCUCCUCACUUAGAAAUGAAUCUAGAGCUGUUAGGAAGAAAAAACCUCAAGAGAAUCCACCAAAAAGUGUAAGUCAAGAACUCAGUAUUAACCUAAAAUGUUAAACUAAUAAGUUCCAAGCCCUUACAUAUUAAGAGCUAUUUCUCCAUUUCUCAAACCAAUAUGGGAUACAAUUCUCUAUCCAUGAAACUAAUAAUUUCCUCCUUUCUGAGUAGCACUUCACAUUGAACCCAAUUUUACAAAAUCUUUUUUGAACCUACUUUAAUACUUAAUACAAGCUCAUUUUUACAUCCAAUGUCACUUUUUCUCUCAAUCAUAGAUUCAUUCUUCUUCAACAUAAGUCCAUCUUAACACUCAAGGUUACUUUUUCUCCCAAUCAUGAACCCAUUCUUCUUCGACAUCCAAAUUAGAUAUCGGAUCCCUGCCAAUUCUUAGCUCCUUGUUCUAAUACCCACGUGACCUCCUGCCAAACUCUUGGCCCACCCAGUCCAACACCAAUCAAAUUCCUUGGCACUUUAGUCUACCACUAAGAACAAAAUUUCACUUAUCCAACUCCGAGAAGAAUCCACUUGGUAAUAAGUAACAUCAGCCAUACUCAUUGACACUUCAAUCUACCACUAAGAAGAGAAUUUCACCGGUCCACCUCCGAGAAAAAUCCACUUACUAAUGAGUAACCCAGUCUAGUACAAACCAAAAUUUGGACCCUUGCCAACUCUUAGUUAAGGGUGUUCAUCGACCGAUAAUCGGAAAUUUGGUAAAAAAAAUUUCAGUAAUUCGAGAAUCAAUUUUUUAAGGCCAAUAUCCGAUUAUCGUCCAAACUUUAGUUUGGUAAGUUGCAUCAAAGAACCAAUAAUUCAGUAAUAUCCGAAAUGCAACAUGUCAAUAGUGAUUUAAAAUAUUUUAAUUUUCUCUAAAAGGUUGUUGUAAAAAAAUAAUAUCCCAUAUGUUUUUCCAACAAAAUUCAAUCAACUUAUCUCAAACAUUGAUAUACAAAAAAUAGUAAUAAUAAUUAGGUUCAUAAUUCUAAGUCGUAACUCAUAAUCUAAAUUCUUAACAACAUUGAAAUAAACAAGAACUCCAAAUUAAGUUGUCAAGCUAAACUCCAACAUGUUAACUUCCAACAAAAUUUGACUUCCAAGUACGGUUAUAGUUAUGUUAGAUAAUUAGUAAUUACUAAUUAGUAUUUGAAGAUUUACUCUUAUAUUUAGUAAUAUAUAUAUAUAUAUAUGUAUGUAUAUACACACACAUAUAUUGUACAUGUCUAUAACAUUAUAUUAUAAAAAUUUCAAUAAUUUAGCCAGUAAUUAGUAAUCUAUAUUUAAUAUUUUUCUCCCAACCAUUUUACCAAAUAUUAUAUUUCGGUUCUUUCAAAUUCCAUUUUACCGAAAUCCAACUUCAAGAAGAAUUCACUUACUAACAAUGUUAUUGAACUCGGACUGGAUAGCGACUCAACUAAACUAUUGAGUCAAGGAUCAAUUGGUCGGAUUGGUCGGACUGUUCUAAAAAAUCCGCUGACAUCGGCAUGAUGUCAUAAUUAUUUUAUAUUUUUAUAAGUUUUAGAAAUAUUGAAAUUAAGUUGUUAGUUAUAUUUGGCCAGCCAUAAAAAAUGUAAAUUUUCUAUAUACACCUAAUAAUUAUAUAUAAAAAUGUAAAUUUAUUGUUAAAAUAUGUCCAUUCUCCAAAACUACUUGAAAAAUAAAUUAAAAUAAAUUAAUGCAAGUUAGAAUCACAGAUGCUAAAUUGAUAAGAUCAUAGCGAUAAAAAUAUCCUGAUUUAAAGAUCAUUCAAGAAAGCGAGUGCUUUUGAUAUUUACACUAAGUAAGUGGGUUUACUUAUGCCUAUCAAUCAAUGAAAGUGUUACAAUUUAGGUAACUUAAAUUAUGUUUGGGAAAAAGAAGAAAAAAAAGUUUGAGAACCGAGUUAACUAGUCGUAUCGGGUCACUGGUUUACCCGAUUUUUGACAUUUUUGACUAAUUUUUGACCAAAGAGGUUUUGUGCUACAAACCAAUUCGAGAAGAAGGCCAAUUCAUGGUCGGACCGAUCAAACCAGCUAGUCCAAUCCAGGUCUAACAGCAUUGCAGUUACUAAUGAAUAGCUUAUUAAAGAGCACCCUAAUCUUGUAAGAGAGACUCUAAUACUACUUAUUAGGGAGCAAAAACUUGAAAGAGCCUACCAAUUAAAGAGCCAAUAUAUAAGUUGAGAAUCAAAUGUUGAUCUAAAAGUUUAAAUUGUUAAGCCUCGGGUCAUUAGUUGCAUAUUAAAAACUCUUUCUCCAUCUCUCAAACCAACUUAGGAUAUAAUUCCAUACUCAUGAAUCUAAUGUCACGUACUAAUGAGACAAACUUGCUAAUCAAAUUGCUGGGGUUUGGACAAAACCGACAGCAAUCUUACCCCUAUUAAGUUAUAAACCUAAAAAAAGUUGUAAAAUUUCAAAAUUCUCAGAAAGAAAGCCCCACGUGGCACGGGGGUGAGUCCUAAUAGUACUAAUAAAGUCUUAGUAAUGAACUCAAGCUACUUAGGUCGAUAGUAACUUCUCCCUAAAUUAUUUUUGUUGUCAAAUUUAUUUCCUUGUUAUCUUUACACAAUUCUAUGAGCUUUUUUAAGUGCUCUAGCUUCCAUAUUUAUUAGUUAAUAAAUUGUUAUGGUACUUUCAUUGUUAUUUUUCCAAAAGAUCCAUGUUUAAUUCUUUAUUUGCAAUUAAGCCCUUUCUAUCAUAAUAAAUACCAAUGCAAUGAUACUUACUCAAAUGCGCAUUAUACUUCACUAUAUAUAACUAUAUAUAUAUAUAUAUAUAUAUAUAUAUAUACUCAAAAAUGAAACUUCAUCUGUAAACAUGAUGAAUAUAAAAUUAUAUACUUAAAAGUGGAAGCCAUGUCACACUUUUUUGUUUUUUUAUCAAAGCCCAAGUUGUUAGAGGGGAUGUAGUGUCACACUUGAUGUCAUAAACAUUUUUCAAACAUUGAAAUUGGUCAGGAGCAUAAAAGAUUCAUGAAUGUAUCAUUGUUUGGAAAGUCAGUUUUCAAUUAAAAAAAAUUUCUACAUUUACCAUGAACACAUUUUCCAUCACCUUUUUGCAUUACAUAUAUCAAAUCGUUACAAUAUAUUUUUUAUAAAAACUCCAGAAAAUUGUAAUCCAAACAACACCUUAAUUUUCACAAAGCCGUACCAAACCGAAUCAAAUUUACAAAACUAGAGCCCCACUAAAUGAAAGAAUAUCUCGUUGUAUCAUCUUAUUCACCAAUUAACAACAAUUUCUUUCUGCGAUUGUCCUGUUACCAUUGCUGCGAUGGCAUAUCUUUCCACGCCAGUACGCCACAGCAUAGGUCGCCACGACGUGGUGCACCAUGGGACGGAAUUUUUGGCCAUAAAUUAUUGCAAAUUGGCUUUCAUCGUAGGUGAAUAAAGAUUCCAUAUUCAACCAAAAAAAUUUUAAAAAAUUAGAUAUCCCAUGUGGAAUGUGAAAAACAUCUUCUAACAUGUAGUCAUCUACCAAAGAAAAGUGAAGUGACACCCGGAUACAUUUUUUAUGUUGUAGAUCCAAUGAAUGUCUCGGUUCCUUUUAAGAAGAAAACUGAACAUUUUUUACUCAUUGUCAGGAAGAGGAUAUUUUAUUGAAGUUCUGCCGUUGAAUGUUGAAAUGUGUACGCAGCAAACUCUUUUUGCACAACCAAGAUAAGAUAAGAUACUAGAAAAGUGUCCUAGAAAAUAAUUUUAAUACUCCCUAAUAGGAGACGUUCUUCUUCCUAAUGAGGAACGCAUCAAAAUUGGAGAUGUUCAUGCACAAAGCCAUCAUACGCGUGCAUAAUAGCAAUAUUUUAGAGAUAUUUUGACGUGAGCCAAUGAUAUAUUCUUUUCUUAGUAAUGUUAGUUUCAAUCAUAGUGACGUCGAAAUAUUCAUGAUUAACCUUUUCUGAUGUUGUUUAUUUUAUCUUUAGGACGCUGUUGUCUUUUGAUUGGAUCUUGUUAAUGAAAUUGAUACCUACUGAAGCGGUGUAACCUUUAAUUUUAAGAAUCAAGCCAUGUCUUAUGACAGCAUUUUCUUUUCGUGGUGGGGAACUUUUGUAGGUGCAACAAUCUUCCUAACCUGUUUUUGUUGUCUUCAAUUUUUCCUUCUUAUCAUCACUUAGUUCCUUGUCCUUUCUUAAUGCUUUAACUUGAAUAAUGAUCAGUUAAUCAAUUGUUAAAUAACUUUGCUACAAGAAAAGUGGGAUUUUGCGACGCACUACAACAAACUUUUAAUUGUUGCUUCAACUUUGUCAUAUUACUGUUUUCACGUUCAUAAUUCUCAUGAAUUUCAUCUAGAUUAUACAAGACUUGACCCAAAAAACAACAAAAAACAAUAAGGAUAAUUCUAAAACCCGUUCAAGUCCUCAUAAUCACCGCUGUUUCAACUGGCAUCAGACAACACACGAAACAAGUAAUGGCAGCAGGAAAUACUGAACUGCAGAAUUAAUUGAGAAGUCGAAAAGACUAACUUUGAGUUGUACUCGACAGGCUAAAAGAGAGAAAAUUAUUUGCAACAAAGAACUACAGUAGAAUAGCUCUUUACCUUCUAACGAUCAUUUUGAACUAGCAAAAGCAGCUUUCUUUCCUUCAUAGCAACACCGCGAGUCACUGGAAAUCCGGCUUUACAGCUCCCCUCGAAAACUGAAGCUCAGUCUGGUCAAGACGUACUAUUCAUUGUCAAGUUAAUGAUAGGGUAUAAUUUUUAUAUGAAUAAUCGGUGCACAACGUGCAUGUUAAGCCCUUAAUAUGAAAGGGAAUUACCUAACUUGAUUGUGUUUUUGGUUUUAGGAGGAUUUGAUGCAAAUGAGCUUGGAAUUGCUCGUGAAACUUGAACAUGAUGGUGAAAGCUACCUAACUUGACUAAACGUGUGGAAGAUUGAACUUGAAGAAGAAUGAACGCAAAAAUUGAGGUGGAUGAACGCAAAUAUUGUGCCUUUCCCACGGAUAUGCGCGUGUGCAUGUUGAGGUGGAUUCAUUGGUGCUGGUUCAAAUAUUGAGACAGGCAUCUCGGUGCCCGUGGGGUAUUCACACAGAGUUUCGUAAUCUCUUCCAGCUUUCACCCUGUUUCAUCAGUAUUUUCCACUGUUUCAGAGAAGGUAAUCAAGUGGCCACCGAUUGCUUAUCAAAUGUUGGUUGCAAUGAUGGGAGUGACAGAGUCUAUUAUCAGUUUGCAGAUCUCCCUGCUAGAGCCCGAGGGGCACUUAGAUUGGAUAGGAUUGGUCUCCCUUCCAUUAGAAAAUGCUAGGAUUGUUUGAACUGCUGGGAGGUAAGGUCUGUGUCCCCCUCCUUGGUUUCUUUUCUUUGAUAUAAAUAAAAAAUAAAAGUUUGGCCAAAAAAAAAAGAAGAAGAAUGAACGCAAGUUGUGCGUGACAUGCAAGCUCAGGGUGGGAAAACGAAUUGUGAAGAAAUGCUGCUCAACUUGUCACCGGACAUCCUCUGAAAAUUGAAGAUUUGGAAUUCAUGGAAUGUUCGGUGCUGGACUUGGUCGAAAAUCGCGCAAACUCGCUUUUCUUCAGUUUUAACGAACCUAUUCCUUCUGGGAUUCAACUGGAACUUUAGGAAACUAUACAUAGGAGUACUCAUGACAUUUUCUGGGGGGAACACUUAUCUAAACAUUAGUUCUAAGAUUUUUCUUUAAGAUUCAAGAAUCAAACUAGGAAAUUAAGGCGCGGGAUUUAGAAUAUCAUUAAUUAGGAAGUUCUACAUGCUCUUUAUUCUAAGUCUUGUAUUUUUCAUCGUUGAAUUAAUAUUUACUCUUACUAUUAUGAUGAGCUAAUUUAUAUCUAGGGUUAGAGUUUCGUGAAAGAGUAUUGAUUAUUUAUCUUGGUUAAAUUCUUAACUUUUGCCUUGAUUUAUCUGUUUUGAUUUAAUUACAUAUUUGUAUUUGACCAUCAUAGACAUAUUCUUGAUAAAUGUGGGAUGGGUAUCAAUCUUGAUAUGGUAGAAUUGAUCACCAAGCAAGAAGUGGAGACGUGGUUCCGUACCCAACGGACCUUUCAACCAGGAAAAAAAAAAAAAAAAGAAGAAAGAAAGAAAAAGAGAGAUGAAAAAGAUGCCCCAAAGAUCAAGCAUGUUGUUGAUGACUUCUUUUUUGGCAGAAAUGAACAUUUGGCAUUGAUUCUUUGAUGUCUUUGUUUCGUCAAAACAGCAAUCCACAACACAUCAUAUCAAGGGCCCAGUAAGGGAUUUUAUCACAAUGAUCCAACCUUGAAGAAAAUAAUGGGGAAACAAGGUGUCUGAGUAUGCUAAGGCUAAGGAAUAUGUUUGGUUGCAAUUAUUAAAUGUGAAAAUGAUUUUGAAAAUAAGGGAAAUGAAAAGCAAGGCCAGGCCAGUCCAGCAAUCUAUAAUGCCAAAAACACAAUAAUUUGUAUUCAACUGGUAUCCGUCCAGAAGUAGUUUUGAAGCAAAAGUCAUCAAGAUUAAAACCCAUUUGCCACCCCAAAAGCAGAAAGAUGUGGGAUGUCACACUUGAUAAACAUUUUUCAAACAUCAAACAAAAACAUAGAAAAUUCACCAAUCUGGGAACCUUAGUCUCCCUUUGUUUGGGCCUGCUUCUUUGUGGUAGAAACUCUAUCACUCAUGGAGGAUCUACUACCCACAAAAAAAAGGGUUAAAUGUCACCCGAGUACAUUUUGUAGAAAUGUUUAAUAAAUGUCACCCAAAAUUUUCUUUUCAAAUAAUAUCCUCUCCUGACAGACUGGACAUUUUAGUAAAAUUUCAAACCCGAAUGUCAAUAUGUGUCCAUGGACAAAACUAUAGGGCACCAACCUCAAUGUGUCAAGAAAUUUGUUGUGUUUUUUCUAUUUUAUUAGGCUAGUGUCUACAUUUAUUAUAUUAGUAUUUAUAUCAGUUUUGUAACUGACUUUCUAUAUAUAUUGUACCAUAUUGUCACAACCAAUAACAGCACAAGCCCCUAGUCCGUUGUGGGAGUGGUUUAAUUUUACAUUUUCACUAGUGUGAAUACCCGUGCUACGCACGGUGCUGACAUUAUUGAAAAAAAUAAAAAUAAAAUGAUGAAUAAAAAAAGGUUAAAAAAUUGUACCAACACAAUUAAAAUGUAAUAUUUGUCUAACAAUAGUUUGAAAUAUGAUAAAAUGUGUAUAUCAUUCAAGAACUGCCUUUUUUCGGAAGAUAGAUCCUGAAAAAAUAAUAGAAAUUUAUAUUAGAAAAUGAAUGAUAUAUGAAUAAAAAUCAAUGUAAUUGAAUGUUGUUAAAAUGAAAUACUUACAAAUAUUAUGCAUUCGAUUUGAUAAUCUUGCAUGAAGGUGCGGACAUUCUUCACACCAAUCAACUUUUAGUAUGAAAGUCAAAAUUGGUGAUUUAAUUAAUUCUGUUGAAUUUUGUGUAGUGCGUACUACAAAUGAAUGCACGAUCUUUGUAUGAAUUGAUUUGUUGGUUGAACAACCUAUCACCAUUUUCCUGAGAAUUAAGUACGUACGAAAUUCAAAAUUAGUGUAUUUUUUUACAUAAUUUAUAAAUAGCAUUAUAAAAAAUAAAUAUAUAUCAAAAAAUUUUACCUUCCUUUGUAAUUAUCUGAUAUAAGAAGCAUCACAACCAAAUACGAAGCGUGCAUGUCUGUCUUAUAGAUUAAGAUGCAUGUUACCACUGGAAUCUCUUAUUUAUAUGUUAAUAUUGUACCUGUUUGACAAAUAAAAUGUUAUAUACAAUACAGAAAAUAUGUUGAAAUUAAAAGUAUAUGAAAUUAAUUACCUAACAACAGUGUUGACCACGUCAUUACAAUGCAGACCAAAGUGACAAAGAAUAUGAUAAUGACAAUCUUUUUGUGAUAAGAAGCAUUAACUCUUUUGGCCUAAAGGUACGGAAACUGUCAUCAUGACAAUAUUAAAUACUGUACAUAGUUAUUGAACUCCAAGAAUCCAAACUAAGUCGCAAACAAUCUGAAAAUGUAAAUUUUCUAUCGUAAGAAAUUUCUCAUAUCAAAUUCCAUCAUUUUUGUAUCUGGAGGGAACUUGGUUUCAUCAAAAGUCAAAUACCAAUACUUGUGCCAUAGGGAAAAAGAUGACAUAAAAACAGUGAUGGACAUCUAUUACUCUGACCAUAAAAUAAAUUUUUAUACUUACUGUUGCGUAAUAAGUUGUUAUUGAAUCAUGAGAAAAUGAGUCUAAAAUGAUGACCUAUUGCCUAACAUUUCACUUCUAUUUAAAGAUGAAAGGCAAUCACAGCAAUAAUCAAUCGAAAAUAUUACAUUAUUGGGAAUAAUAUUUUAAAAAAUAAUGGAAAUGCAAAUGUUUAAAGAAUAAACAGUACCGGAAUUUCUAAUUUGAUGCGAACGACGUUUUAAUCGGUGUAGUUAGGAUUUUGUCCUUCGAAUUUGAUGUGAGAUUUCUCUUUCGUCAACGUAAAGUUGCUGAAACUUUUCGAACUACUGUGUGGAAUCGUUGCGGUAUGCGUUUCGUUUUCUAAACAAAUGUUUCCUCCUUUACAAUCUUGCGAGUUUGAAAUUUAGCUGUCGUUAAAAUGCUUGUAGGCGGGCAUGUUCCAUAGUGAAAUUAGGUUAAGGGUUAAAAUGGAUAUCAUAAAAAUGUUGAAGGAGAAAAUAAGUUCUUGGAAAAAAUGCAAGAAAGUUCUCUUAAUUGGAGUGAGCACGCAAGAAAGUUGAAUGAGCAUGCUAUGUUUUGGACAACUUUUAAUUGGAGUGGAAUUCUUAAAUUGAAGGACUCUUAAUUGGAGUGAAAAAGUGAGGGAAAUGUAGGGAAAACAUGAGUAUGAUUAUAGGAUUUUUAGGAGUGGUUAUAGGAUUAGUUAAGAGAUAAACAUCUUAAAUUGGAGAACUCUUAAUUGGAGUGGGAAAAAGUGGGGAAAAUGUGAGCGUGAUUAUAAGAUUUGUAAUAUAGUCAAUAACUUGAUAGUAUACUCAAAUCACCGAUGAGGUAAAGUUUGCCUAAAUAAUUUUUACAGUGUCCUAUUUCCUUGCAAAAAAAAAAAACACUGAAUAGUCCUAAUUGCCAUUGCAAGUCACAGCAACGUGCCAGUGGCAUCUAGUUCUAAUUUUUUUUUUUGGGUCAAAAUCUAGUCAUAAUUGAUUCUGCUAUUUCUUGAUCAUGUUGUAUGCUUCCAAAUUCUAGUUAGCGUGUAAUAAUUGAUAAUGACUUAUUCUAUUCUUUCAUGGUAUUGGACAGGUGAAAACCACACCAGAAGUGUGAUAAAUUUACUAUAAACUCUUAAUAUUAUCUCCCAUAAUUUUUGUAAACUUUUUAAAAAAUUUAAACUUUUGUCAACAAUAGGCUAGUCACGCAAAUAAAAAAAAGGGACUCGUCACACAUCUUAUUGUUUGCCUUAAAGAACUCAAUUUAGCAAUUUUUUUAGAAUAAUGGUGAAAAAAAUCAUAACAAUGGAGGAACCUGGGUUUGUUUCUUUUUUUUUUUUGGGAUAUGAAACAACCCUAUUCAUUUUUAAAAAAAUAAAUUAAUUGGCCAUCUUACGUUCAUUAAGAAAAGGGAAAUUUUUUUUGGUCACUGCACAUGGAUGUCCGACCAUCCUAAAGGAAAAGAAAAAACAAUUAUUCCAUUCUUGCGAUUUUUUUAGGGUUAAAUAUAGUAAGCCUCUUAACUUUACAUUUAGUUGCACUUUACCCCCUCAACUUUACAUUUAGUUGCAUAUUUGUGAUUUUUUUGAAACUUGAUUGUAAUUUGCAAAGUUUAUUUGUAGGUGUGGUUAUAGGAUUAGUUUAGUGAUAAAUAUUUCUUAAUUAUAAAAAUGUAAAAUUGUAUUAAAAUAGCAUACGAAUAAGCAUUUGUAUUUAAUUAAGGAGUAAAAAGGAUUUAAAAUAUAAAUAACAAACUAUAAACGGUUUAUGAAAUAGAUAAUGAAAAAAUUUUAAAUUUUAAAUUUGACUGGUGAUAGUGUUGGUUAUAACCCACUACUUUUUGUGUAUUAAAAUAAAUACAAAAAUCUAGAAAAAAAAAUUAGAAGUUUGGAAGUCAUUGAGUGGCUCUCUCCUAAAAACCCACUCUGUAAUACAUAUAGAUAUAGGGUCCGUUUGUUUCGGAUGAAAAUGUUUUCCAUGAAAAUAUUUUCCUAAUUUCCCGUGUUUGGUUGGACAAAAGUUAUUGAAAACAUUUUCCUAUGUAAAAUAUUUUCACUCAUCUUAUGGAAAACAACUUCCCUUCCAAACUUACUGAAGUUGUUUUCCGAAAUGCAUGCAUCCCGCCUGUAGUAUGUUCCAAACUUGCUGAAAACAUCUAGUAGUAUGUUCUUUUUUUUUUUUUAGUGUAAACAGGAGGAUUCGAACCCAAGAUCUCUUCAUUACACUCCCUCCCCCGUACCACCCAACCCAACCCAACCCUCCCCCUAGUAUAUUCAAAAUAAAAAAAAAAACCUAAUCCUGCUCAUCCUAUGCUAGUAAUUAAUUAUGUAUAAUAGGGACAUUCUUUUCUAGAGAAACUUUCAGCAGUGAGAGUGCAAGAUAUAUGUCACAAUAAGGAUUGCAUGUGAUUGAUAUUUGACACUAAAUGGCCAGCAAUUUGUUUAUUGCUUAAGAAGAUAUUUUUUAUUCAUAUAUACAUUUCUCCAAGAUUUUUUAAAGUUAAACAAUGAGAUAAAUUUUCUUAUUUUGCAUGGAAAGAAGUAUGUAGUUAUAAUGUGUAGAAAGUAAAGAUAGAGAUAAAAGUGAAAAUAUUUCAAAAGUUAAACAAACACCAGAAAAAUGAAGUAAGAAAAUAUUUUCAAUAAACUAACCAAACACCUGAAAAUGAUGAAAGGGAAAUGAUUUUCAUGGAAAAUUACUUCCACGGAAAAUAUUUUCCCAAGGAAAACAUUUUACUUCCAACCAAACAGACCCAUAGAUUUGUAUAGAUGAUCUAUAAGAGUAACAACUUCAUAUAUUGUGAAGCCAAGCGAUUUGAUCACAGAUCUCAACUUUGCUUUUACUAGUGUUAUAAGAUAGCAUCCAAGAACUGGAAAUUUUAAAUAUAAUUAUCACAUUUUGAAAGUGGGGCUCAUGAAAUCAAGUAGAUGCAGAGGUGUGAUGUCUUGGAGCAGUGAUUCGCAAGCUUGUCUAUGCCUGGCGAGAAGUGACAUAAUAAAAUUGAAAAGCUGGGAUGUCUGGAAAAAAUUUAAAAGCUUUUAGCAAUGUUUAUCAAGAAAAAGUGAUUUGAUGGGCACACUCGUUAGAUAAUCUUGACGUAAUGAAGUUGAAGAGAACACUACUGCUAUGAAAAUUAAAUUGGGAAAACCGUUCAAAAAAUUUCUUGCAUUUUGCCAAAUGAAUUUUUUCAUCAUUCACUUUUAAAAUGUUAAUUUUACAUCCCUUACAAAUUCAAAUAAAAAAAACUUGAUUCUAAUCUAGGUUUCUGACUACUUUCAUCAUGAAUCCAUCAUGUAACUCAUAUGUGAUUAUUUUUUAGGGGCAAAAAGAUUAGUUACUAUUUGUAGUUAAAUAAAUGACCCAAUUUAUAUUUAUUUUUUUCUCUAAAAAUUUGGAGUCUGAUUUAAACUAUAUUCAUUUUUUUUCCUAAAAAAUUAAGAUCUGACCCAAUUCAUAUUCAUUCUUGCCCCUAAACAAAUGGGCUAAUUUCUUAAAUUAUUAAAAAAAUUCGGCAAAAUCUAGUAAGUGGUGGAUUUGUUCUUUAUUUAAGGGUACCUAUAUAGUCAUACCUUAUGUACUACAUGUGGCACCCAAAUACUUUUUUCUAAUUUUAAAUGUUUUUAAAAUCUUACUUUAUUUUUUUUAAUUUUCAAAAUAGGGGCCACACGUACUAUAUUGCAAAAAAAAAAAUUAAAAACAUGGGGGCCGUGGUUAUUUAAUUAGGUGCAGUUCGGUUUGCAUAUAUAUAUAUAUAUAUAUAUUGUUAGGUGCUUUAGUUUCUGCCUUGUCCCUUUUGAUGAUGCAUCAUACCAAACUUCGAUACACAUCCUUUUCUUUUCUUUCUUUUUUUUCCUUUUUCCCAAAAAAAAAAGUGAUCAAGUUUUAAACAAAUAAUCCUUUUUGUUUCAUUUUUCUGGAAACUAAUUAAUUGUAUGAUCAAUAUAAUCGUACUAGCUACUGUUAAAUUAAUGUUUUAGCUUUACUUGCUGUUUGAUUAACAAAUGGCAGCAAAUUAAGGCAUCAACUGGGUGAGGUACGAAGAGGAUCAGUGGAUUUGGUCAUUUGUUUUGCAAUAUAUAUUAAAAUAUAAAGGCGGCUGCCGCAACUAUUCAGGUACGUGCAUAAACGUGGGAUGAAAAAAAAAAUGUGAAAAACAAUGAAAUUAUUUGAAUGGGUAAAUUAAAAGCCCCGGGGUUAGUGCGACCGGUCCAGUAGCCUCCUCUUCAGGAGCAAGGUCCUGUGUUCGAUUCUCUUUCCAUACCGCGCUGAAAUCCUUGGGACGGGCUCUUCCAGCCUGGGGGAUUAGUCUGGUCAUUUGACCAGGAUAACCCCAGUUGAUAAAAAAAAAAGGGUAAAUUAAAAGCAAAUCCUGCCCCCAAGAAAUAAUUCAAAGCCAAUGCAUGUGGCCCCUACAGAUUAACCUUAUCAAACUUGACCAUGUCUAUAAAACCGCCACUGGACUACUGGAGUUCAUUGUCAUACCCUAACUUGCUAUUCAGCCCUGAUGGAAAGCACUUGGCUACUCUUAGCCUUGGCAUGGCUGGUUGCAUUGGCUUUUCUCUCAAAAGCAUUCACUCACAAACGCCUCAAGCUAAAUCAUCCACCUGGACCAAAACCAUGGCCUAUUAUUGGCAACCUGAACCUCCUCGGUUCAAUCCCACAUCAAUCCUUGCACUUGUUGUCCCAGAAAUAUGGAGAAAUCAUGCAACUAAAACUUGGUUCCAGCCCUGUUGUAGUAGCUUCAUCCCCUGAAAUGGCAAAAGAAUUCUUGCAAACGCAUGACAACAUAUUCGCCUCUCGGCCUACAACUGCUGCUGCCAAAUACACUAGCUACAACUGCUCCGGCAUGUUAUGGGCACCAUAUGGUCCACACUGGCGACAAGUUCGUAAAAUUGGUCUAACCCAAAUAUUAAGUCCAAAACGACUUGACUCCUACGAGAGCAUACGCAUUAAGGAAAGGCAUGCUUUCAUGUCUCGUUUGUAUGCUCUCUCAGGAAAGCCAGUAGUUUUGAGAGAUCAUCUAAUCCGUUUUACACUCUCCGCUGCAAGCCAAAUGGUUUUGAGUAACAAGUACUUUGCCCAAUCUGAAGGGGAUGGAUCUGUAGUUACCUUUGAAGAACUCCAAGAGAUGAUAGAUACCUGGUUUUUGCUGGGUGGUGUGUUCAAUAUUGGGGAUUGGAUUCCGUGGCUCGACAGAUUUGACCUCCAAGGUUACGUAAAGCAAAUGAAAG
Molecule: long non-coding RNA, 63861 nt
Filed under: Coffea arabica (coffee)
Lineage: Eukaryota; Viridiplantae; Streptophyta; Magnoliopsida; Gentianales; Rubiaceae
Description: long non-coding RNA (CARA_LNC006496)
Source: RNAcentral